Molecule: long non-coding RNA, 80280 nt
Filed under: Coffea arabica (coffee)
Lineage: Eukaryota; Viridiplantae; Streptophyta; Magnoliopsida; Gentianales; Rubiaceae
Description: long non-coding RNA (CARA_LNC002050)
Source: RNAcentral
CAGAGUACUGGUAUAACACAAAUUUCCAUUCUUCUGCUAAGUUCACUCCAUAUGAAAUUGUCUAUGGGCAGCCGGCCCCUCUUCACAUUCCAUACCUACCUGAGGCCACAGCAUGUGCUUCCGUGGAUAGGAGCUUACAAGCUAGGGAGAAGGUCAUUCACUCCUUGAGACAUAAUCUGUCCAAGGCUCAACAUCGAAUGAAGCAGUUAGCUGAUAAGCAUAGGUCGGAGAGGGAACUUGCGGUUGGUGACUGGGUUUAUGUGAAACUUCAGCCUUACAGACAGCAUUCCCUACGUUCUCACCACUGUCAGAAGCUGUCACCUCGCUACUUUGGUCCAUUUCAGGUGUUGGCAAGGAUAGGAGCAGUGGCCUACAAGUUAGCUUUACCUUCGCAUGCCCGUAUCCAUGACACAUUCCAUAUCUCCUUGCUCAAAAAGAAGGUUGGCACAGGGGGCACUCAAGCUCAGAUUCCCGCAGGAAUUACACACCAAGGACAGAUGUUGGCAGAGCCCAUAGCUGUUCUUGACAGACGUCUGGUCAAGCGUGGGCGAGUUGCGGCUACACAGGUGCUGGUUCAAUGGAGUAACAGCUUUCCCGAAGAUGCAACUUGGGAGUACUUGCAGGACUUGCGGCUACAGUUCCCUCAUUUCAAUCCUUGAGGACAAGGAUUGUUUUGAGAGGCGGGUAUUGAUACACGUGAACGGGGUUACGUAAGUUUAGGGGCUGCAUGUGCGUGCAUGGGGUUUGCAUGGAGGGCCACAGCUGGGUUUUGUUGCAGUUAGUUACUGAAAGUUGUUACAGUUAGUUAGUACUGAUUUGUAAGAUUCUUAUGACAUCAGCAGAUGUCAUAAGUUUGUUAGCCGGUUAUAAGCUCACCGUCUUAGCACUUAUAAAAGGCGAAGAUGGGCACCAGUAGAAGACAGACAAAAUCUGGGAAAUUUGUUAUAUCGGCACUUUCCAUUUCUUCUGUAAUCUUUCCUUCUUUAUUCAAGUCAAUAAAGUUCUCUUGGCUUUCGGAUUACUUCUCCGCCAGUUUUUGUAAUUCCUAAGUCAGAGAUUGAGGACCUCUACUGUCCUUUGCAUCAUGCACGCUCACACACACACAUAUAUUAGAACUUUUUGAGAAUGGGAUAAUCCUGGCUUAACUAAACACACGAAACAGAGACCUUUAAUCGCUAAUAUAUCUGUAUUGGAUUCUGAAUGGCUAGCGUUCUUGUGAUCGACCAAGAGGAGCCAAAAUAUCUCAAUCAGUCUAAUAAUGUAUGAUUUGUGAAACCCUGUAACUUGAAGUACGACGGAAGGAGCAAGGGGGCCGGGGGAGGUGGUCCUCCUCUUAUGUUCUUAUCAGCCGCGGGAACCUGAUGCCUCUAUGUAUACAGCGCUUCUGAUGAAAUGUACUACUUUUUGCUUUCUGUUGUACGAGCAUUGGGGAAUUGAAGAUGACAUGAAUAUAUGGAUUGAAUUGAAUAUGUUUGGUACAGAGAGAACUUGAUGUACGGAGUCCGCCGGGGAAAAAAACCUAAAAAAAUCAUUGCCGACAAGAACAACUGAUCAUGCACAUCAAUACUAGUACAUAUAAGAACAACGUGAAAUUCAUUCUCAGUUUUGCUCGAGAUACUGGAGCUGGUGAUCUUGAGACCUGAACAGUAAUUCUAGAGAGCAUGGAGUCAAUACUGUACGUGUCUGCGCUCUUUUUCUUUUGGUUGAUGAAAAAAUUGACUCGUGAAUUCAUUGCAGGUAGUUAGGUGCCUGAGUCAUCCUAAUUUAUCUUCAAAUAAAAUGUAUAAACAUUUAGCAAAUUCUUCCAAGGAAUUCGCAUGCGCGCAACCAUUUUUUUUUAUAUAAAAAAGAGAAAAAAAGUUUAGCGAAUUCUUCCGAUAAGUUGUACUGUUUUGGAUCGCUGUAAGUUGUAGGUAUCAUUUUUCUCUCCCAUUUUGCUCUUUCACUACGAGCAAUGAAAGUUGGUUUGAUAUUCAUCAUUCAGGACGGAAACUUUUGUUGUGGUCGAAGCCUGAAGGGAAAUUACUAAUCAGGCCUGGCAAAAAUCAGGUAACUAUAUAUAGUGUUGCUUGCAAGAAAAUUGAAAAUUAAGAAUUAAAAACAAAAACAAAGAAAAAAAUCAUUCAGCAGUAGUACUAAAGAUUUGGGACUUUGAUGGGCUAAAGUGAAAGGGUACAAGGAAGGCCCGCUCUUGAAUGUUGUAGAUGAACAAGGCUUGCAUUAAAUUAGUGAGUGGGCCAAAACUUGCUCAGCAACUCUUUAGGAAAUGUGCGGAAAACAAUUUUGUCAUUUUCUAGCCCGACAGCUUGGCUUAUGUUAUGAAACGAAACCAGUGGGCCCUCCCUCCCUCUGGAACCCCGCGGUUGUUAACAAAAGAUCGAUCGCAUCUGGCUGUGGCUCAAAAUUCUUCUUCCGCCACCAGAUUCUCUACUAGCUGCACUGUAUGAAUCAGGUUUGAAACUUACAAAGAUGGUACUGUAUGAAUUAAAGUUCCAGUCCCAACAGCCUGCCGGCCGAUUUGGUAACAGUAUGGCUCCCAUUAUAUACGCUAAGCAUUAAGCACUGCAUGAUCGAAACAAACAGAUAUUUUCAAAAUGUUCAAGGACCUUCAUCAUAAUUAACCCAAGAAUUGCUUCCUAACCCUUAACCUCCUAAUUUUGUCAUUUUAUUAGUAUUUUGUUUUCUGAAAGCAGGUCCCGUCCGAGUACAUGAUGUUAUGCCUACGCAGUUAUAAACUGCAGCAGCACAGCAAGUGCUUGAUAAAGAUAAUGCACAUGUGGUCUUAAAAGAAUUACUGUGCAGGAGAGAACGAUGGACGACGUGGUAGCUAGGCACGUAUUUGGGGUUGAGGACCGACUCUGAAUUGAAAGGGAUAGAUCGAGUGGAGUCAAUAAACUCAUGCCUUCCCUUCUGUCCUCUCCUUUCUCCUGCAAUUCUUGCCACCACCAAUACUUCCACGGCCUCCACAAGACAAGAGAAGAGGCCGCGGGGGGGUUGGGUUUCGGGCUUUGGGAUUGGGGAUGGCUAUGGUUGACAGUUUAUUAUUGUGUAUUUGUUUCGUAAUUUAUAUACACUCAUGAACACACAUUGAACUGAUAUAUACGAACAAAAUUUAUGCGUAUAAUAAACGUAUGUUGCAUCACGUCUCUGCAGUAUAAUCUCAACGUUAACUACUGCCCCAAACUCAUGAAUUGGAAGUACGUACCUGCUCGUUGUAUACAAUUUUCACAGAAGCUAGAGUAGUGAACAGCUAUGACAAACAGCGUUAAUGCAUUAGAAUCUUUUCGUACAAGGAAUAAAACAGAACUUAAUUGUCAAGAGCUGCCUCCUUCAAUUCUUCAAUCCAUCCAUGUUCUUUUUGCUAUUCUAGUCUCAGAAGAAUCCACCCAAAAAUAAUGCAGAGCAAAGUUGCAGAAGAAGACACGUUGGACCAUGCCAUGCAUACCACAGUUCCCAUAACGGGGCCUUUAUUUCCAUUCAGUCUUUUACCAUUGGAAUCAUUUUUUUUAUUCAAGAAACGACGCUAGCUAAAGUUGGUGAUGGACUUCUAGCUAGUUGUUCUAAAACUGACUUUAAGAAAGCUCUUUGAAAAAUUUUAGGAACAAAUCUAACUAAUUGAAGGUGCAAAUGAGAAUGCGCCAAAAAGGAGUAUAGUUGUGGAAAAGUUAGUUGAUUACUAUAUAUAUAUAUAUAAAAAGGUACGAGUUUCUCGAACAAAUUUGGUAACAAUAGAAUCGUUUUUUGCUUGUUCAGGAAAAGUUUUUGGAUUGAGGGUCUGUUUGGUUGGAAGUAAAAUGUUUUCCUUGGGAAAAUAUUUUCCGUUGAAGUAAUUUUCCAUGAAAAUCAUUUCCCUUUUAUCAUUUUUAGGUGUUUGGUUAGGUUAUUGAAAAUAUUUUCUUACUUCAUUUUUCUGAUGUUUGUUUAACUUUUGAAAUAUUUUCACUUUUAUCUCUAUCUUUACUUUCUACACAUUAUAACUACAUACUUCUUCCCAUGCAAAAUAAGAAAAUUUAUCUCAUUGUUUAACUUUAAAAAAUCUUGAAGAAAGGUAUAUAUGAAUAAAAAUAUUUCCUUAAGCAAAUAAAUAAAUUGCUGGCCAUUUAGUGUCAAAUAUCAAUCACAUGCAAUGCUUAUUGUGACAUAUAUCUUGCACUCUCACUACUGAAAGUUUCUCUAGAAAAGAAUGUCCCUAUUAUACAUAAUUAAUUACUAGCAUAGGAUGAGCAGGAUGAGGUUUUUUUUUUAUUUUGAAUAUACUAGGGGGAGGGUUGGGUGGUACGGGGGAGGGAGUGUAAGGAAGAGGUCUUGGGUUCGAGUCUUCCUGUUUACACUAAAAAAAAAAAAGAACAUACUGCAAGAUGAUUUCAGUAAGUUUGGAACAUACUACAGGCAAGAUGCAUGCAUUUCGGAAAACAACUUCAGGAAGUUGGGAAGGGAAGUUGUUUUCCAUAAGAUGAGUGAAAAUAUUUUACAUAGGAAAAUGUUUUCAGUAACUUUUGUGCAACCAAACACGGGAAAUUAGGAAAAUAUUUUCCUGGAAAAUAUUUUCACCCGAAACAAACGGACCCUGAGAGACAAAGUUUUUGCAGUCAAAACUUGGAUAAAUUCGAUUUUCAAAACUCAGUGCGAUUGCGGCGUUGAAGAAGAUCAGAUCUCUUCAAGUGAUUUUGCAUGCUCAAUCUAGAUAUAUAUAUAGCAGUAGUAGUACUUGCAAGCCAUGAAAACAUAGGACCACCUAACAGCUGCAAACGUUGGUGUGCGCAAUAUAAUCAAUCAUUCAAUCCCACCAAAAAACACAAAAACAAAAAGGAAAGAAGGAAAAAAAAAAAUGGAGCUGGUCAUUAAUAUCUCGUGUAAGGCCUACACAUGUGAAGCUUUACGGCCCAAGGGACCCCGAGAAGCUUUAAGCGUUGAGAGCCCUCAUGAUAAUGCACGAAGGCCGAUUUCCCAGAAAACAAAAAUUAAUAAUCAAUCGCUAUCCGAGCACGCGGGUACCUAUACAUACAAGAACUAAUUAUUAUGGUCACAAUUGGUGAGAAAUUUUUGGGUGACUUGUGACCUUCCAUCACAAAGGCCGUACAUUUUUUUUUUUUUUUUUUUUGCUUACGGAGUGGGUGUCCGGGUCAAUCCUUGCGGGGUCCGACUAAUCCCACUCCGACCUGGGAGGAGAGGCUCCAUCUCCCGAACACGAUAACUAUGGGACUCGAACCAUUGCGGGCACUGGGCCGUACAUGUACAUGACGAUAUUUAUUCUCUAUUUUUUUUUUAUCCUACUUCUUAUUUUGAUUUAAAAUUAAUGCGUGCUCUCUCAGUCUCUUUGUUCCAAAAAAGGGGACAAGCAAACAAAAAAAAAGAAAAAGAGAAAAGAAAUGGAAAUCCUCCUUCAUCACUCGUCUAAAUUUUGACGGCCGUCUACUACAUGGUAACCCAGUCAAUUUCUUGUAGGAUUUUUUUUUUUUGAUUUGGUUACAUGAUAAGUUGAGGAUUGGUACCUUGGAGUGUGUUGUAUUAUAUACACCUGUUAGUGUUGGAAAAUUGUACUUUCAUUAUCUAAACUUUAGGCUUGUUUUCAAUUAUUUAUUUUAGACUGAUUAUAUAUUCUAAUUUUGGAUAAUCAGUUUUUUUUUUAAUAUUCUCAAUCAGUUUUGUAUUCUAAUUAUAAAUUUUUAAAUGACCAUAAAAGUUAAAAUCUAUAAUCAGUCAAAGAGUAACUUUUUGCUGAUUCGGAUUAUUCUUCAUAAUCAGCUUCUAUAUUCAGAUUUUGUGAAAUCUAGAGCAAUAAAGAACGUGACAUAUGUCUAUGUGCCAAUGGUUACUCGCUUUUCACCCUAUUGUCAAUUCAUUGAUUAAUUCCACACUAGAUACUUUCAGGAUUUCACGACACUACUUAGAAUUAAAUGGAGACGUUGGAAAAUAUGCUUGAUGAAUUCAGAAAAAGGGUGAAGCACGUAGAUGGUUAAUUAUCGUUGUUUGGCAUAGGUAUGGCAACGGGUAGAGUAAAACUCUAUCCUUGUGGGUGUUUCAAUUAGACGAUAGAUGGGUAAUCCGUUAGACGUAUUAAUAAGGAGUUACUGAUGGAUAACCCGAUAGAAUUUGGUAAGAUAUUUUCUAAAAAUUGGAUACUCAAUACUCGAUAUUCCAUACACAUGUCCGCGCGAGCGCACACACACAAUUUGUUUCAUAUGUGCGUGUAUCAAAGAAUUAAUACCUCUAUAAUAGCUAUUUAUCCUCUUAGUUUGUAUUCAGUUGACACACAUAUUUAUCUUUAUACAAUGUACAUGCGAGUUAGGAUUUAAUAAGAGAGAUUUUUAAAGGUAUUCAACUCGCUGCCAUUCCUAUUUUGGAAUUAUAAAGAUAACUCAAUAUGGCAUUUUCAAACUUAAAAAUAGUUAAAUAGAACCAUGUAAAUUGUUCAAAACUUGGUACCAUGCCCAAGUGACUAAUUUUACAUUCUCACACUUACACGAUGUGAGUGAUAAUCCUAGUCUUACGCACGAGUGCCAGCUCAUGCAAAAUAAAUAAAUGAAUAAUUAAUGGAAAAGGGCGUUUUUGUCAGAUUUAAGAAAAAGGUGAAUGGUAAGACACACUGCAAGCAUAAAUACAGAGCCGCGAUAGAUUUUAUGUAUUGGUUGCAUGCCCAGCUAGCUAAGCUUUGGUUUAAUUGUUGGUUAAUAAUGGAGAUGCUCCUACAGCAACCACCGGCGCCGCCAUGCAUUAAUGAAGAUGACCUAGCCCCUUCUUCCUCCGGCUCAACCACCACCGCCACCACCCCCACAGCCGCCAUCAGCAGAAGAAGUGAUACCAGCAGUAGUAGUGCUGCCAGUGGGGGCACACGGCAUCCGGUCUUUCGAGGGGUCCGCAAACGGCGGUGGGGCAAAUGGGUGUCGGAAAUUCGAGAACCGCGAAAGAAAUCACGGAUAUGGCUGGGUUCUUUCCCAAGCCCAGAGAUGGCAGCAAGGGCAUACGACGUGGCCGCAUAUUGUCUGAAAGGACCCAAGGCCCAACUGAAUUUCCCCGACGACAUCCAGCUGCUGCCGCGGCCAUUAACCACCACGGCUCGAGAUAUUCAGGCAGCAGCCUCAUUGGCCGCAAGAGUGGCGAUGGCAGAAGGAAAAAAGACUACUACUAUGUGUGGUAGUAGUAGCACUACCGCUACUACUACUGCAGCUCAUAUCGGCGACGAUGGGAGUGGGAGUGAUGAUUUUUGGCGGGACAUAGAGCUGCCGGAGCUCAUUGAAGCUUGGCCGGGGGAGAAUGAUAACAGUACCAGCGUAACUGUGAGGAGGGAUUAUGUGUGGGAGUUACGCUACUGGAGUGCUUCAUCAUCGUUAUCAUCAUGUUCAGGGAUGUUUUCCGGCGAUAUUGCCACGUCGCCGAUGGAAUGAUUCCAGUUGGAUGAAGAUGACCGAGCCCCCGACGGACUGUGUAAUUGCAUGUACUAGUUGUACGUCCGCGGCCGUAUGACCGUACAUAAUAGUUAAUACAACACUCCUCCUGCAACUAGUAUUAAUUACUUGGUGUUACAGUUUUAACUUCCUCAUUCAAUUAAAGCUUCAGAUUGUGAUUAACUAAUGCUCCAUUUCUACUACUACUGUAUAUAUCUAUUAUCUACUCGAUGAUGCAUUUACUUGCUCUUCUUCAAUAUUUAAGUGACAUGAAUAUUAUUGCCUUCUUGUAGUUUUUUUUUUUCUCUCAAAGCCAUAUCUAUGUAAUACAUAUAAUAUCCUCCUCCUCCUCCUUCUGAGUAGUUGAAUCUGAAUCUGCUAACUAGUAGCAAUAAGGUUCCGACCAGCUUCACUAGAAAUCGUCGGAAGGAAUUUGUGAUGAUGGAUGGAAAAGGAAGAAAAUUAAGCCUGAAUUAAUGAUAAGUAUAAGCUGGAAUCAGCUUUGCCAGACUCGAAGUGGUAUAUGAGAAUUGUACACCUUUUGAUUACUACUAUUUGAAGAUUAAUUAGAAUAAACAAAUUGCUAGGAAAUUAACAAUUGGAAAUUCAUUGUAAGAUGGAUUUUUCUGACACAAUAUUUGAUGUUCCGGUAUCUUGUUGGAUAGAGAUCGGGAGGAUGGUUUAAUAGUAGUGGUAAGGGUCUUAAUCGACUCGAACCCCCAACACUCUUAACAGUAGAGUGGUUUAAUAAUGUCUUUGGGCUGGGCGUUUUCCUACGUACUUGUUGCUUAAGUGGUUCUAGUAUUAAUUUGAGGUUGGGUGGCGAGAGUGUGCAGUCUGGACUAACUCAAACACUGGCCUUUCAGUUUCAGAAGCCUGUCCCAAGAAUAAUGUCCCCGUUUGGCAAAUAAAUUUUUUAAGUGUCUGUCCAAAAUUUUACUGUAACUUACAAAAUUUUACUGUAGAAGUUGUAGGAAAAUUUUUUGAAGUGUAUAAGUUUUUGGAUAUUUUGAAGUGUAUCGUUUAAAAAUUUUGAGAAGUUUUUUCUUGAAAUUAUUGUGGUUAAAGUUGUUAAAAAACUUAAUAAAAAACAAAUUUGGCCCAAAACUUGUUUGCUAAACAGGCUCAAUUGAUUAUGAACAACUUUGAUCGAAUUUUUUUUUUGUUGGUGCCUUUACAGGCAAACCCUGUUCCUGUUCCGCUCCAGAUGCCCAAAUUGUCUUGUCUUUGUGACUGCUGCUGCACACGAAAAAAAGUAACCUCAAGUGAGAACAGAAUAGUUGUUGUAACAGUGAAUGAAAAUGGGCCAAAAAUGAAAAGGAAAAAGGCUCAGCGGGUCAAACCAUGAUACAGGACCAGGACCUGUCUCUCUGAACCCAUACCCAUAUGUUCGAGAUCGACGGACGAUUAGUUUCAUUCACCAAUAAAAGAAAAGAAAGCUCUCCGCAGGCCCAACAAUUAGUCUCUUUUAUUUCAACAAAAAUCCCUCCCUCCUCCCUUUGUCGUUCAAACUCUCUCUCACUCACGUCUAAUAAAUAAUUAAAAAAAAAAAAAAGACUGGUGCUGCUGCUCUUAGUUGUGGUGUGUGGAACAGUGGCCCUUCUCCAGUGCAGAGGUAACUCUCUUUCUCCCUCUCUUUUUAAACUCGUUUUAGUAUUACAUAGUGUUAGACUUAAAAAAGAAACCCUAGAUUUUUUUUUAUAGGUUUCCGUUGCACGCAUUCGCAAAAGUCUCUGUAAAACCCUAGCUUACGUACAAGAAUUGAACAUGGAAUGGAGUCCACAAACCCUGCAAUUCCUAUCGGAAUGCUUCCUUAACACUCUCUCCCCACUCCCCGAACCCCGUCGCCGUGCCGAGUCCGCUCUCUCCGAUGCCGCCGACAAACCCAACUACGGCCUCGCCGUCCUCCGCCUCGUCGCCGAGCCCUCCGUCGACGACCAGAUCCGCCAAGCCGCUGCUGUCACUUUUAAGAAUCACCUCAAGUCCCGUUGGUCCCCGCCUCCUCCCUCCCACGGUGACGCCCAAAUCCUUACCCCGAUUCCCGACCCCGAAAAGGAGCAGAUUAAAACCCUCGUCGUCUCUUUGAUGGUCAAUUCUUCCCCUAGAAUUCAAUCCCAGCUCAGUGAAGCUCUGGCCGUUAUCGGCAAGCACGAUUUUCCGAAAGCGUGGCCUACUCUAUUACCUGAGCUUGUGGCGAGUGUUGAUAAACUAAGCCUGGCGAAUGAUUAUGUCUCUGUUAAUGGCGUGUUAGCUACGCUGAAUUCUUUGUUUAAGAAGUUUCGUUUUCAGUAUAAAACCAAUGAUUUGCUUCUGGAUUUAAAGUAUUGUCUUGAUAAUUUUGCCAAACCCUUGUUGGAUUUGUUUCAAAGGACGGCUAGUUUGAUUGAUCAUGCCGUGGCUUCGGGUGCUGCCAAUGCAGCUACCCUCAGGCCCUACAUAGAAUCUCAGAGGUUGUGUUGUAGGAUUUUUUACUCUCUGAAUUUUCAAGAGUUGCCCGAGUUUUUUGAGGAUCACAUGAGCGAGUGGAUGGUUGAGUUUAAGAAGUAUCUCACCGUUACAUAUCCUGCUCUCGAGGAUAGCAGCGGUGAUGGGCUGGCGCUUGUUGAUGCGCUGCGCUCUGCAGUCUGUGAGAAUAUCAGUCUUUAUAUGGAGAAAGAGGAGGAGUUGUUCCAAGGGUAUUUGAGUGGUUUUGUGGAGGCUGUUUGGGGUCUUCUUCUUGUCGCAUCUGCCUCUUCUAGCAGGGAACAGCUAACGGUCACUGCCAUUAAGUUCCUCACAACUGUCAGCACAAGUGUACAUCAUACUCUAUUUGCAAGGGAUGAUAUCUUGCAACAGAUUUGUCAGAGUAUAGUUUUACCCAAUGUAAUGUUGAGGGAUGAGGAUGAGGAGUUGUUUGAGAUGAAUUAUGUGGAGUUCAUAAGGAGGGAUAUGGAAGGGAGUGAUCUUGAUACUAGGAGGAGGAUUGCCUGUGAACUCCUCAAGGGAAUUGCCUUGCAUUACAAGGAAAAGGUCACUGAGAAGGUCUCUCUUCAGAUCAACAGUUGUUUGGGUUUGUUUAAUGAGAAUCCAGCUGCAAAUUGGAAACAAAAGGAUUGUGCUAUCUAUUUGGUUACUUCGCUUGCCAACAGAAAAGCGGGUGGGACUUCAUUUUCUACUGAUCUAGUUAAUGUCGAGAGCUUUUUUAGUUCUGUAAUUGUUCCUGAGUUGCAAAGUCAGGAUGUCAAUGCAUUCCCUAUGUUGAAAGCAGGAGCUCUGAAGUUCUUCACCAUGUUUAGGAACCAGAUAUCAAAACCUAUUGCGCUGGCAUUGCUUCCAGAUGUAGUCCGGUUCCUUAAUGCAGAGGCAAAUGUAGUUCACUCGUAUGCGGCAAGCUGCAUUGAGAAACUCUUGCUGGUCAAAGAUGAAGGGGCUAGACCAAGGUACACAUCCUCAGAUAUCAGUCCAUUUUUGUUGGUCUUGAUGACAAAUGUUUUUAGUGCCUUGCAGAAGCCAGAAUCUGAGGAGAAUCAGUAUGUUAUGAAGUGUAUCAUGCGAGUUCUUGGAGUUGCUGAAAUCUCUCGUGAGGUUGCUUUACCUUGCAUCAAUGGGCUGACAACAGUUCUCAAUAGGGUCUGCGAAAACCCCAAGAAUCCUGUGUUUAACCACUAUCUUUUUGAAUCUGUGGCUGUUCUUAUUAGACGGGCUUCCGAGAAGGACCCUUCUCUCAUUUCUGCAUUUGAAGCCAGCCUUUUCCCUUGCCUUCAAUUCAUCUUGGCCAGAGACAUCAAUGAAUUUUUUCCUUAUGCAUUCCAGCUGUUGGCUCAGCUUGUGGAGUUAACACUCGUGCCUGAUAAUUAUGUUGAGAUAUUCAAGAUCCUUCUUUUACCUGAGUCAUGGAAGAAGUCAGCAAAUGUUCCAGCUCUUGUUCGUUUGCUCCAGGCUUUCCUUCGAAAGUCACCUCUUGAGAUGAUUCAGAAGGAAAGAUUGGAAAGUGUGCUUGGGAUAUUCUCCAGACUUGUUUCAUCUCCUAGCACCGAUGAUCAAGGAUUUUAUGUGCUGAAUACAGUGAUUGAGAAUGUUGCAUAUGACGUAAUCUUUCCGUUUGUACAGCAGAUUUGGGUUAUACUGUUUAACAGGUUGAGUUCCAGCAAAACAGUGAAGUUUGUUAAGAAUCUGAUAAUAUUUAUGUCUCUUUUUCUGGUCAAAUAUGGUUCUCAAACCCUUGCGGAUACAAUAAAUGCAGUUCAGCCAGACAUAUUUCGUACAAUUUUGGAGCAGUUCUGGGUACCAAACCUCAAGCUGAUCACAGGUUCCCUUGAGCUAAAGCUCACUUCAGUUGCUUCAACCAAACUUAUCUGUCAAUCUCCAGAUAAUUUGGAUUCUAAGACUUGGGGUAAACUGCUGGACAGCAUUGUGACACUUCUUUCACGACCUGAGGAGGAUAGAGUGGAUGAUGAACCUGAUAUUCCUGAUUUUGGUGAGACUACGGGCUAUAAUGCUACCUUUGUCCAUCUUUACAAUGUUGGGAAAAAAGAGGAUGAUCCUCUCAAGGAAAUUAAGGAUCCAAAGCAAUUUUUGGUUGGGUCUUUGGCUAAUCUUUGUGGUGCUUCCCCUGGAAUGUAUACCCCAGUCAUUGGUCAAUUUGUUGAGCAAUCUAAUCAAGCUGCAUUGCUGCAGCUUUGCAACACAUAUAAUGUCUCAUUAGUUUGAAGAAGAAGCUGUCUCAUGGUAUGCCUUCCACUAGUGCAUCUGUUAAUCAGAUACACGAAAUGUCUAUGUUUUUGUAUUGAAACUGUGGACGUACUUGAUGAGGAUAGUAAUUACUCUGUACAUUUGAUGAAUGAUCUUUCUUCUUGUUAUUUUAAUUUCUGCUUAUGUAUUGCUUGAUAAGUUGAUAGGGAGUGUGGUUGAAUAUGCUUUUUGAUCUUCUUCUGUGUGUAUAAUGACAUUUGUGGAACCAAGAUGAACAAUGCUGUGCUUAUGCAUGUUUUAUUGUUAUCUGCUGCUGAAAAGUAUUUGGGGUGUAUUAUAUGAAGAUAGUCGUUUUGGAGGCCUUUGCUCUUGUACACUGUGUCUUUAUAUAUUGUGUGUUGAUAUUAUGAGUUAUGCUUUGAUGAGAAUCCUGAUGUUCUUUUACCAAAAAAUGAUAUUUAAUUUGGCCUUAAUUGUGGAGAUUAUUGUUGCUUCUGUUUGUUACUUGUGUAGUGGGAGCAACUUCCGUAUAUUCAUCUUUUAGAAUUUGUAUUGCCUGAAAAGAGGCUGAUAGAAAAUGCUAAAAGUUAUGGCAUAAAUUAUGUUCAAGGUGCGCCAUGAAAUGAGUCCCACGUUUAACCUCCAUGUUCUCUUUCUUACUUUCUAUAUUCCUCUCGAUGCUGGUAAACACUGCAACAAUUAAGACUCCAUGUCAAUGCCUGAUUGUUGAAACUAUGUGAUUGGAUGCGCAUUUCUAUCAUGUUUUGCCAACUUAAACAUCAUUGGUCUGAUUUUGAAAAUGCGGUUUCUUGUCGCAGAUCUCUGGGUUCGUGUUAUUCAGUGUUGGAUAUUGAAGUGAGCAGGACUUUUGCAUUUUAUUGACUGGUACAACGAGUUAUAGGUUCAAUCUAUAAUUUGGGCUUUUUCUGGCUCGUGGUUGUGUUGCAAUGUCCAUUGCUUCAUCUACCGGCCAGACUGAUAUGGAUAAGCUAUUGAAUCAGCCCUGAAGUCUGGGAUUUUCUGGCUUCCCGUGAUGUGGUGAUCAAUGCUGCUGUUUUUUUGUUUUUUUCAUGCUGUCCAGAUGCUUGUUGAGCACAUUUGACAUCAUAGUCAGAAAAUGAUACUUGUGUUGGCAUUUAAAUUUUGCUUCCAAAUUUUGAUGCUGGCCUUCGGCAUUUUCAUUCGGUUGUAUUGUUAGGUCACUGGGGGAAGAGCCUGUGGGAGUCUUGAGUUGCUGUAAUUUCUAUGUAUUUGCGCUCGCUGAAUGUGUAUUUUAGGUAUUUUUGCUGUUGAGGUUUUACACAUAAUUAAAUCUUAAACACAUAAUUGGUGUUGGGGUAAUCAGUAAUUUCCGACUACUGUGACGCAUUGCAGAAAAUUUGAAGUAUGGGGAGUGAAAUGGAGACUUGGAACUUGUAGACUUGUAGUAGUUACGACUAACGCACUUUUGCAGGUUAAUAAAUUUUUUACAGAUGAAUGGGUUAUGGUACAUGGUUUUUGGUGCAUCCCUCGAGCGACAUUGGAUGUUUGCACAAAUUGGACCGACAUUGGAUGUUGCACAAAUUGGACAAUUCCUGUGUACAAUUUGUCUUUGCCAUUUGACACAUGUUGGCUCCAUGCGCCACAGGGAAAGUUCUAGUGAAAGGUCGUGGGGUAUAUGGAUCCUACUCUUUUUCUUUGGAAUGAGCUGCGGUUGGAGUAGGAGUACGUGCAUGUGCAUGCAUGCUAUUCUAAGCGUCUAUUUGGGGUAGCCAUAGGUCCAACCUGCUCAAAGACCGUGCGAAGGUUCCAAAGCACAUGCCGUAAACUUAAUUCUGUGUCAAAUUCGCUUGUUUGUUUCGUACAUAUUGCAAUUGCCAUAUUAAGAGAAAAGUUUCCUUGCACGUAUAACUAUUCAUAAAAUUCCCUUUUUUUUUUUUGAAAAAAAAAAGGCACAUAAGCAAGUUAGGAGGAACACUAAAAGAAACAGCCCAAGAGUACGAGCGGACAAGAGAACAGUGAAGUCCACUUUGGGCCGUUCGUUUGCAAGAACACAACAACAGAGAAGUAGUAGUCUGUCAUUUCUCCAUAUGUAUUCUUGGGCCCUUUGUUUGCAGGCGGCCAUGGAUUGAUGCGCUCGUAAUCAAUAGCUGUAAUGCCGUCAGAGACCGAUAAAAUUUGAUAUUUCGUACUACUAACUUUUUUUUCCAACAAUAGAGAUGAUGAAAUUUUUAAAUCUUAAUCUUCAACCCAACUCAAAAGGCAACUGUUGACUUUCAAGUUGGAUCAAGGGACUUAAACUCUCAUCACUCAACCCUCACUGGGAGAAAGGGGAGAGGGAAACACUCAGAUUGACGCUAGCUAUUACCACUCUCCAUGACUCUUGUUUCUUUCCAACAAUAGAGAGGAAGAAAUUUUUAAACCUUAAUCCUCAACCCAACUCAAAAGUCAAUUGCUGACUCUCAAGUUGGAUCAAGGGACUUAAACUCUCAUCACUUAACCCUCACUGGACCGAUGUGGGAGAAAGGGGAGAGGGAAACACUCAGACUGACGCUAGCUAUUAUCACUCUCCAUGACUUUUGUUUCUUUCCAACAAUAGAGAGGAAGAAAUUUUUAAACCUUAAUCCUCAACCCAACUCAAAAGGCAAUUGCUGACUUUCAAGUUGGACCAAGGGACUUAAACUCUCAUUACUCAACCCUCACUGGACCGAUGUGGGAGAAAGGGGAGAGGGAUAUUUCGUACUACUAACUUGAGGGGGUGGGAGUGAGACCUUCCUCUCAAAUCGCUCAUUGGUUAAACUGUUCGCAUGGAGUAAUCGGUUUUGGAAUCAUAGUUAUAAAAUCUGGCCCAACCCACGGCUGUACUGGUCAAUCAAGUGAACCGGUCAUAGAGCCCGGGCUAGGUUACUAAUAACAUCGGUAGGUCAAGCACCGAAUUCGUUAAUCGACUCAACGGUCAACCACUGUAUCAGGAAAAAACCGUCAGUUGAACUGUCAACUUAAAAAUUUUAGUAUUUUUAUAAUUUAAAAUAUAUUAUUACAUUAUAUAAUAUAACUGUUGUACAACCUACGAUUGAACUGAUAAUCUAUAAAUCAGUCACCUCUUCGGAUCAAGUUCCAAAUCGGGUUUGAUAACUAUGAUUAGAAGAGAUGCUACGAGUUUUAAAUUCUUGAGACCAACGGUGCAACAUAUAGAGGAGAGGAGACAAGAGAGGUAUGAGAAGAGACUUUUGACUUUUUUUAAAAAAGUUUUUUUACUAGUAUUUGAUUGUACGUAAUUGUUAGGUGUUUGUGUUUAGUUGAAGAAAUAAAAGAGGAAUGGGGCAGGAACACUUGGCCUUAAGCUCAAUUGGUGCAGUUAUUGUAUUCUUUUUAUGAUUUGAUGUAGAUUCAUGUAAUUUUGUUAUAUUUUAUGAUUUAAUAUACACCUGCAUAAGUAAAACUGAGAGUCUCAUUGACCUUGACAAAUACCAUAUUCAUUUUGCAUUCAAGCUACAGAAGCUACACAUACUACCACCAGCCACUAAGCCAAUGGGAGGCCGUGGACCUUUCGCCUCUCUCUCUCUCUUCUUUUAAUUUGGGAAUCAGUUUCAUGCCCUAAUGUUAACCCUUUUUUGGUUUAAAUCAAAAUAAGACCUUCUUCUUCUUCUUUUCAUUGUUAUUUUGUUAAUCCAUUAAAGAAAAGGUAGUAAAAUAGACAAAUUCCGUCUUGCAAAACUGCCUGACUUCCACUAUACUGACACGUGAGGGUUCCAACAUAAACAAGCAUAUAAUAAUAGACCAGGAGUCUAAUAGCGAAUCCAUCCAUCCAUCCAUAAUGCUGUUUUUUUGCCAAAUGACGCUUCACAGUCGCAGCUGCAACUGAGGUGCUUUGCAUUUUCUCCCAACCCGAGACUGUUCCAGCUGUUCCUGAGUUAAUACUAGGAGAAUGUUAGGUGAAGAAUUAAUUAGUUGGGGCAAAAACUAAUGCACGAUAAUAAUUACGGCCUUCACAAAGAGAAAGAGGCCAUCCCUUCUCAUGUUAGAUUAAGGGGGUCCAGUGUGGAAAUGGGCAUUAAAUUAAUUGUAACCACCCCCCAAUUAAAGUAAUGGGAGGGAAUUUAGAAGAUUCUGAGAUACCUAGAUAGUGGUCUGCAAAAUUUGUUUAAUGAAUUGUAAUUACUGCUACUAAAUUGGCUAGGUUGGGGGGGUGGGGACCGGAAUCUUAUGAAAAUUACUAGUAGGACAAGAGGAGCGAUCUUUGUAUGCAAUUGCCACCAAAUGGUCCUCCAAUAUCUGGAUUUUAACAAAGUGAAGGGCAUAAGAUCUUCUAAUCCAAAUGGAAUCUUGAAAUCAUCCAUCAGGGAUAAGAUCUUUCGAUAAGUCCAAUUCAGCUUAAAGCAUUCAUUGUUCUUAAUCUUUGGUGUGUGUGAUUAGUAGAGGCAUCAUAUACAUGAGUUUUCAAAGCCUUUGGAGCCACCGGUUACGUACUUAGCCCUAUAAUUAACUCAAUUAACACCAUUUACCACUUAAUUCUAAGUGGAAAAUUUUUCGUAUUUGGUAAUCAGUCAAGUUUUAAUUAAACGGGCGGGUUAGAGAGUAUUAAUUAAUUACUUAAAUCUUUUGCGCAAGACUGAUUUUAAUGACUCAUUACUCUUGAGAAAGAGUUUAAACACAUGAAAGAAGCUGCCCAAGACUGAUCGAUCCAACCACUACCACUUUUAUACUCAUAGUCUGAUUUGCGCUCACUUGCAGAUUCAAUCGUUGUACAAAAGGGAUGGAGAGUGAGUUUUCCUUACUUUUGACCUUUCUCUGGGAUAAGAAUUUCAGUACCCUUCACCUUUUUAUCUCUAUUUGAAUGUGGUGGUGCAUAUAUUCCCUUCAAAAAACAAAUUCAAAAAAAUGAAAAUCCUGUUCGACUAGCUAACAUAUAUAAACAUGGGGAUGAAUGGGCACAUGCUAUGUACUAUUUGUUUCUUGAAAAAGGAAAAGAGGAAGAGAUAAGACUUCCGAUCGAGCCCAAAAUGACGCCUUCAUUCAUUUGAAGUUCUACAAUAAUAGCAUAAAAUAAUAAUAAUAAUAAUGUUACUUACUACAAUCUUCCAAAAUUUCACGAGCUUAUAUAUGAUACUAUGAAAUAAAUAAGUAGAUAAAAGUGGCCCCCCCCGGGGGUGGGGGUGGGGGGAGGGGAGGGGUAAUUGACUUGAGGUUGGUUGCAUUCUGUACCUUUUCUUGUCCAACAUAAGUGAAACAUAAUAGCCUGAAUUAAGGGCGUCCAAAACCUCAGCCAUAAAUAAAUAGAUACACUCUAUUAUAUAUGUUUAUGAAUGGUAGAGUUAGGAGAAUGAUUUGGAAUCCACCACAGCACUUUAACAACACAAAAUUAUUCCCAUUCGUGCGGGCAACAGGCCGGGGGGGAAUAAACUACUAAGGCAACUAUAUAUAUAAAUAUACAUGGUAGAAAGAAUAAUACUCCUACUAAUAAUCUAAAUAGUAUAUAAAUAUGCACGUCAACUUGUCCCUUCAAAGUUGCAAGGAUCGUUGUUUCAAAAAAAAAAAAAAAAAGCUACUAUGUAUAUAAUUUGCACUCUCAUAUCUCAUCUACUAACAUCUUCCAUCCUCUAACUAAACAUGUCAACUACUACUAUACUUCUGCAGAGUGCAGCGCUACUAGCUAUAGUAUGUAUAACAUAGCAUUUGAUUAGUAGUGUUUUGCAGGUCGAAUUGAAUUGAAUUGCUUUCGCAGCACUGCACAGACAAAACUAGUACGUCUGUUACGGACUCCCCAAUACGGUACUGGACAACAUCUGCAUGCAUGCAGCAGCAGGAACAUGAACAGUAAUAUUAUUAUUGUCCCCAGCCCUAUUCUUGCUGCUUUUCUAUACAACAACAAUAACUUGUAUCGCUUGAUGGUCUUGAAAUUCAAAAGACCUAUCCAUUGUGAAAUUCAGCAAUUACUUUUUGUGUUGCUUAAUUAUGUUCGAAAGCGCUUCCAUCAACUUUUCAUUACGCUGAUUGUUGAACAAUAUAUAUAUAUAUAUAUAUAUAUAUAUAUAUAUAUAUAUAUAUAUAUAUAUAUAUAUAUAUUUGCAUGCAAAACCAUGCAGGACAAAGUCGAACCAACAUUCGUGUACUGUUGGGCGUUAAUACAUGCUCCAUUUUACGCACCUGAAAUGAAAUUAGGUUUGGCCGGCCGGAACCGGAUCAUGAGCUGAGUAUUAAUUAGUACUAUUUCUAGUUUAAAUCAUCUGUCGACGUCCGCAAUUGAAACACUGAAUACGUACAUAUCUCUCAUCCCUAGCCACCACUUUGAUGAAUUAAUUAGCUGCUGCUGGCUGCUGCUGCUGCAUUCUGAGUGGAAGUCUUGGUGCCAGGUCUCAAUUACAUAAACUUCAAACUUUGUCAGUUGGAUGGUUGUUCAAACAUUUUAAUUCUCGAUCUUGAGUUAAGUUUUGACCGAAUUUACAAGGUUUGAUUCGUUUGCAUCCCUUCGCGUAUAUUGGUAUAUAUAAAUAAGGCAAACCCAUGCAUUUUUUGUGGUACAAAAAUAUUUUUGACACAAGAUUCAAGGGUUAUCAAAUAUCAUCCUUUUGACAGAAAUUAUCUGCUCGCGUUACUUGCCUGGUAUAUAUACACGGAGAAAUCUCAUUUCCAAGGUCAUCUAUAUGUUUAUCUAUAGAAACUACACAACUUCAAGAUCAUUAAUUACUUUGUAUUUAUACACUUCAAAGGGACGUCCAUCAUAAAUUUUUCACCGGAGCCUAAAAGGAGAUCACAAAUCCUAGCUCACGAUAAUAAAGAUCUUUAAACUUCAGAUAUUUUCAUCUGCAAGGGUGUGAUUUAACUCUUAUGUUUUGGUAUCAAAAUUUGUUCGACUAGAGAUAGGUACAUUAUUGAUUUUCAAAAAUCACUUAGUCAAAAACAAAUACGAAAUGUUGUUCGAUUCCUUGCGAUUACAGAAUGAGAACCUGGACAUUGGGAGUUCGAACUUGAGAUUAAACACGAAUUCUAAAUUUAAGAAUUUAAGAUUGAGCUCGAACUUGAAUUUGAAUUGUUUAAUAAAAUUAAAUCAAACCCAAUUUGGCUCGGGGAGAGCGGGAGGGGCAAAAUUUCCUCUUGCCUUGAGGUUGAUGGGCAGUAGGACAGGAACAUGUCCAGGGCGUCCAACAUUAAAACGAGCGUGAUAGGAACAGUAGGGAUGUUGAUACGUCUCAACCGUUGUGGCAAAAACCACGUGGGCUAUGAAUAAUGAGGCAAAAUGAUGACCUGUACAGCGGGACCCGCUGCUCUAACAAAUUGGGGCAGAGUCUGAUAGUCUGAGGAGGGAGCUCUGCGGUCUGCGCAGUACAGUAUUUAAAGAGUACUUAAUUCCCCUAGCCGCAGUUGUGGGGGGUGCUGAACACACGCCGCAAAUCUGUCCCCGGAUAAUUAACGGCUUAUGCAAGCGGAAAAAAUAAAAAUACAAAAAGAAAAGUUGAUGGUAUUCUACUUAGGAGUGAACGCACACAAUGCGUUCGGUGGUACUUGACUCAAACUUGUUGAUUCGGUACAAGUUGACCUAAGUUUGUUUUAUGAACUAGUCAAACUAAAUAGAAACAACAUUUUACGUGGAUAGAGAAUCUGGAAAUGCAUGACACUAAGGCCUUGUUUGGAUUGCAUUUUUCUAGAUUUUUUUUAGUAGCGAUUUGAUAUAUAUGAUAUAAAAAGAUAAUUAAAAAUGUGUUCACGAAAAACGUAAAUUUUUUUUUUUUGAAAAAUAGCAAUCCAAACACACCAUAAUUUUUGAAUUUUGUCGAAGUAGUUCAAUUUCUUGAAUUACAUGGACUCCAGCUCCCUUAUUAAUAUUAAUACUAUUUCAUAAAUUUCUCAAGACUGUCCUCGCUUUCAUGAUUACAUUUUUUUUUCUUCUUUUUAUUGUCCUAAUCAUAGAACAAUUAAAAAAUUUCAAUGAUGUGAUUAAAAAUUUUUAUUGUCCUUGCUUUCUAUCCUCAUUUUUAGUUCUCACGAAAUAAGAGAAAUGAUUUUGGAUUCAUCGGCUAGUAUUAUGCGAUUGUUUCGCAUUCCAUAGAUAAAUCUGGCAUUUUGAGAUGUUUACAAUGCAUGAGUUGAACUGCCAUUUCUCUCAAUUUUUUAGAUAGAAACUUUUUAAACCAAUUCAUCUCUCUAAUUCUUUUUUUUUUUUUCAUCCCACUUAAAACUCAUAAAAAAGAAAAUCAGAUCUUUUUCUUUUCCCAGUAUGACGCAUGUCAAACGAAAACAAAAUAAUAAUAAUAAUAAUAAAUCGUUAGACAUUUAGGGGCUUGGCUCAAAGAAUCAUCAGGUGAUUAUGAGUGUGUUUGGAUAGUAAGUUAUUUGGCCAAAUAUAUUUGCUUACAUCAUUAUUACAAUUUCCAAUACACAUUUUUAUCUUUCCAAUUACUUUUUUAUUUCACAUACAUCACAUCAUAAAAAGUGCUACAGUAAAAAUAUCUCAAAUAACUUACAAUCCAAACACACUCUAUAUAAACCAAAAAAAAAAAAAAAAGUAAUCCCGUUCCCAGCAUCUGCCCAACAGCAUAAAAGUACUAUAUGAGAAUGAAUUAAAAGAAAUAGGAGUAGAGCUAUAGCCUAUAGGACUAAUACUAGUCUACUUUAGCUUGUACAGUCAACGUUAGACCUGUAUACCACUACAUACAGUCUUCUGCGUGUUUACUCUUGUACAGACUACAGAGCCCUGCCCGCCAGAUUGCAGACAAUGAAAUGGACGUGAACAGAAGGAGUCUUCGUUAUAACGUCGUCAAACUCCAAGUCCCAUGUUCGCGAAUGUCCUCCCAAUUUUGCCCCAGUGUCCUACGGAAUCAAAUUCAUUUUCUUAGCAGACGUUAGAAAGUACGGAUAAUUUCAGACUGAUAAUUUCACUGUCCUUCCCUGAGAUUACGGAAUCAAAUUCAUUUUCUUAGCAGACGUUAGAAAGUACGGAUAAUUUCAGACUGAUAAUUUCACUGUCCUUCCCCUGAGAUUUUAAAAUUUUCACUUACCUCCCCUCCUAUCAGUCAUUUGGAGCCCAACUCUUACAUCACUAAUGACUAAAUGACUCUAUUACCCUUACACAUAUAUGUGAAGGAAAAGAGUUAAAUGUUUGCUAACUACGUUGAUCAUAAUUUGGAUUGUAAAAAGUUAAUUAAUUUGUUGUCUAAAAAUAGAGCCAAUAUUAGGUUCAUUUUGUUUAAUUUAUAUAUUCUCGACAAAUAAAAGAAAUCAGAUGUAAUGCAGUUGAUGAAUUAAAGGAUUUAGACACGAGAAAUAAUUAAGCUGUUUGCAAACUAAAUUAACCAUAAUUUGAAAUGUAAAAAAGAAAAUCUAAUAUGGCAUCUAAAAAUGGAUCAAAUACUAGGCAUCCUUUUUUCAAUUUAUGUGCUUGAUAAAUAAAGGGAAUCAAAUAUAAAGAGGUUUCAGUUGGUCUAAUUUUUUUUUUUAUAUAAUUGUACUGAUAGCAAAAAUCUUAAGGUAUGGAAAAAAAUUGUUCUGUUAAUUUUUGAAAGUUAUUUUUUGUUAUGAAUGAUGGAAAAUUUUUAUUGACCUUGUGUUUGUAAUGGCCCUAAAGUAAAUUAACAAGUUAGAUCAAAUAUUCAAUCUAACUCGUAUAAUAGGGAGGGGGCACUUUUGGCAUAUAUAAAUCUGCGCACGCCUGAUAUUUUUUUUUUCCCUGGGCAAAAUUGUUACAGGAAAAUUGAUUUCAAGGGAAGUUGAUUAUUAUUUUUAGAACCUCAGGGAAGACAGUGAAACUGUCAAAAACCCCAAGGGAGGUUUCUGAAAUUAUCCCUAGAAAGUAAUGUCCCAGUUUGAUUCUCGCCCUCGCUUGCCCAUCUUCUCGCUAGUACACUAAAAUAAAAAAGGUAAGGGAAUGCAUGAUGACAUUCACAGGUUUUUUCCUUAUUUGAUUGUUAUGUAAAUCAAAGUAUUUUCUGCAGUUGGCAGUUCUGAAAACCCAAUUAUGAGACAUGAAGAAGAAGAAUAUGUGCUCGACAGUGUCGUUAAAGGUUGGUACUAGAAUUCUUCAAUGGCAAAACACUACACUGAUGUAACAAGUGUGGAUUCCUGUCCUGUUGGGCAAUAAUAUUGAAUUCGGUUUCAUACAUUACUCCUAGUAGUAAUGUAGUAUAGAGUACGUAUGUGCUUGAGACUGUGGAGAGUGAUUGAUGCACACGCACAUUGCACUCAAGUGGAGCCACGACAAACUGACCUGCUCCUAUAUAGUACUACUCUGUAAGUAAGUAAAGACUACAGAGAGAGAGAGAGAGAGAGAGAGAAGGGGGUGGGGAGGGAGGUGGGGGAUUGGAGAUCAGAGGAGGAAAGUGUUUUUUUUUAAAAAAAAAAAAACCAAACAAACGAAAAGAGGAGAAUGGUUUUGGGGAUUUGGUGGGAGGGGCAAUUAGUGGUACUAGACUACUGCUAGUGGUAAGUAACGUCUCCUAUUGAUGAUGAUGGUGCAGCUAUUGCUAUUUGCUGCAGCAGCACAAGCGGUUUUCUUUUCUUUAAUUAUUUUUGAUGAUCUUCUGAUGGACAAAAAUGGUUUUAUGUUUGAUUUGAUAUCAUAUCAGCUUUGAUAAGAAGACAGCAGGUAAUCAAAGCCUUCACAGAGAGAGAGAGAGAGAGAGAGAGGCUCUUGUUGUUGUAAGUUGUAACUUGUAACUGAAAAGUGAAAGGAGGAAGAGAAAAAAACCAAAAAAAAAAGAAAAAAGAAGAAAGUGGAAUUGCUGAUCAUUUUUUUUUGGUCUCUCUAACGUAGUAGUUUACACUUCCCUCGCCCAGUCGCUCGUUACACUUGGAAAUAAACUACACUACUGUUACUCCUCCUGCAAAGCAGCCGCCUUCUUUCUCCUCCUCCUGACGCCUGACUCCUCUCCACCACUCCUCCUCAGCUUAUUACCACACAAUAUAAUAUAUUAUUGUACCAUACAACCGGUAGCAGCAGCAGCAGCAGCAGCGGUAGCAGUAGCAGUGUUGUGUUUUGGUAAUGAAUGAAGAUAACGGAGGAGGAGAGGGGUUUUGUUUGGAUUUUUGCUCUUUGAUGAUGAAUAUGAUGACGAUGGUAAAAUGGGUUUGGGUUGGCUCAACUGCGUGACCAAGCCUUCCCCCCCCCGGCCCCCACCACCUGUUUUCUUCUUCAACUUCAAGCUACCCGGCCCAAUCUUUUCCUUCCUUUUUGUUUUUCUUUGUUACUACUCCCUCCUCCUCACUGCUCCCAGGCUUAUUCUUCAAACUCUUCUUUACGACUAUUAGUUUUGCUACUGCUCUCUGAGCUCUGGGUAUAAAAUACUUGUGUGGGUUUUCGAUGGCUCAUGUUGAUGGGUUCAGAGGUGGUGCCUCGUCUGCUCCCUCUCACGCUCUGCCCGCUCGUGAUACAGGUGACACAAUAUCAAUGUUGUUUUUUUUUUCAUUUUUUUAAUUUAAACGUAGGUUUUUCCGAAUUUUAGUGUUUCAUCUGGAAAAUGACACCAAAUAGUCUUAUCUACCUGAGGAAAAUCAAUGGGGCGGGCUCUACCUAGUGAGCAUGUACGCCUUCGUUUCAUGGCAGGACAUAAUGGCAAAGCUUGGAAUCCUCUGGGCUGUUUACUGUGGUUUUUGUUCUUUCUUUGUUUCUCCGUUUCUAAGCCUUUAAAUUGUUCGCUCAAGCAAAUGAAGGAUGAGGGAUACUUGAUAAGCAAAACUGUUGUUUCAUUGGAAAAACCCGUAUGUCUGGCGAACUACCCCCUUAUUUUCCUUAAAAAACCAAAAAUUGUGUCAAUAUUGGUCGUCUGUUUGGCUUCGGAUGAGAAGGAGCUAAGGGGACGAAAAAGUUAAAAGGAGAAUAAGCCUAUUUGUUUACUUAAUUUCUGGGCACUCGAGCGGCUCAUGAAUUUAUUGUUUGCUUUAAUCAUCUGAUUCUAUCUUUGGUAGGCCAAGGAGAUGACAUGUAUACAGAGCUAUGGAAGGCUUGUGCAGGACCCCUUGUUGAUGUUCCUCGCGCUGGCGAGAGAGUUUUCUACUUUCCGCAGGGUCACAUGGAGCAAGUGCGCUUUCCCGUCCCCUCUGAUCUCCUUUUCUAUUUUCCUUUUCCUUCAAUCCACCGAACACUUUUUAGUUUCUUCUGCUACAAUUUCUCAUGCACUGUAGCAACGUGCGCUCUGUUUCUUCUUCAGUUGGAGGCAUCAAUGAAUCAGGAAUUGAAUCAACAAAUUCCACAGUUCAAUCUACCUUCUAAGAUCCUCUGUAAAGUAGUUAAUGUUCAGUUGCUGGUACGUGUUCCACCUUUUCCAGUUCUGAUCUGUCUUUGAGGAACACUUUCCCGCACAUUUUUCAUUUUAACCUGCUUAUCUCUCAUUCUUCGCUUUAUAGGCAGAAGCAGAGACAGACGAAGUCUAUGCUCAGAUAACAUUACAUCCUGAAGUAAAUGUAAGCAUUUUUUAUUUGCUUUUGUUGUUUAUAAUAAGGACUUCUAACUUGAUUGGGCUUAUGGUGUAUGCUUAUUUUAGUAGUUUAGUUGCUUCAUGCUGGCUAUCGAUCUUCUCGGUGUUUUGUCUGCUUUAUCUUCCAUACCUUGUGACCAUCAUUUGAAUGACUGUGUGCCCUACUGUCCAUGCAUUUGCAGGAACAGGAACCUUCGAGUCCUGACCCAUGCACUCCUGAUCCUCCAAAACCGACCAUUUACUCAUUUUGUAAGAUAUUAACAGCAUCUGAUACUAGUACGCAUGGUGGUUUCUCUGUUCUCCGCAAACAUGCCACUGAAUGUUUACCUCAACUGGUAAUUUUCCUUCCUCUUUUCUAUUUCACUCAUCCUCAGUUUAAUUCUACUAAAUUUAUACGGAUUGCAUGACAAGCUCAACUGGUUGAUAGACAUAUGCUGCUCCAAUUACCAAAUGUUUUGCGUACAAAUUGAAAAUUGACUUUCCAAAUAAAUGGGCCUGUCCCUGAAAAUUGAAGUUGUCUUUGGUUACUUUCAGGAUAUGACUCAAGCAACUCCAAGCCAGGACUUGGUUGCGAAAGACCUUCAUGGUUAUGAAUGGCGAUUUAAACAUAUAUUCAGGGGCAAGUGUUCUGUGUUUCUCGUAGCAUAAUAUUGCAGAUUCUUUUUUCACUUGGCCAUUUUUUCCCCCAUUAAAGCUACAAAAAAAAAAAAUUAAAUAAGGAGGGCACGUCCUAAUGGUGAUGCUCAGUAUCAACUGAAAUUGAAUUCUUAAGUUUCCUUGUAUUCAUGGAUGAGCAGGCCAACCUCGGAGACACCUACUUACAACUGGAUGGAGCACAUUUGUAACUUCCAAGAGAUUAGUUGCUGGCGAUGCAUUUGUUUUCCUUAGGUAAACCAUGUUCUCAACUUUAGUUACACUUUCUGGUUAUGGAUGCUUUUAGGUGUUUGCUCAAUUGUUGGUUUACAUUUUAUUGUAGGGGUAGUAAUGGGGAAUUGCGCGUUGGCAUUCGCCGUCUUGCCCGGCAGCAAAGCCCGAUACCUCAAUCUGUCAUUUCAAGCCAAAGCAUGCAUCUUGGAGUGCUUGCAACUGCAUCACAUGCCAUUAUAACUCAAACCUUGUUUGUCGUGUACUACAAGCCAAGGUACACAUACACUAUUUUUUCUACCAUGCAUAUGUACCCUAUUUCUAGGAUUUAGGUUUUAUUUCUUAAGUUGUGCAAUAUUUAUCAGGACAAGCCAAUUUAUCAUUGGAUUAAACAAAUAUCUAGCGGCUGUAAGUCACGGAUUUUCAUUGGGCAUGCGCUUUAAAAUGAAAUUUGAAGGCGAAGAUUCUCCUGAGAAGAGGUUUGUUGAUACAUUUUGUGUUUGUGUUAGGAGAGGAUUCUAACUCAUGAACCUUAAUCUCAAGGAUCAUGUUUGUCAGGUUCACAGGCACUAUAGUUGGUCUAGAAGAGGUAUCUCCACAGUGGCCAGAUUCUCUGUGGCGUUCAUUGAAGGUUGGCGGUGGCUUUUGAUUCUUUCAUCUCAUUCUUAUGUCUUUUAUGUCAUAGAUUGUUUAUGAAUGUCUUCCAAAUAUUGCGCCGUAUUAGAUUCAAUGGGAUGAACCAGCAUCAAUUAAGAGGCCAGAGAGGGUCUCUCCUUGGGAAAUAGAGCCAUUUGCAGUUGUUUCAUCAGCAGAUGUUGCUGCCCAACCAGUACCAAAUAGCAAAAGACCUAGGCCCCUUGAUCUUCCAACCUCUGGUAUAAACAUCUUUGGCCUUUAUGUUGUUUUGAAAUGUACCAUGUUUGACUUGUAUAGUAAUAAUUUGUGUCGGAUACAUAGAAAAUAGAGCCAUUGCUGCUGCUUCUCCUUUCUGGUGUCCGGAAGCAACUCAAUUGCUUGAAUUAAGCCACUAUGACAACAUUACUGAAGUCCAAAGCACGGAUGAUCAAUCUUUCUGGCCACCUAAGCCGAAAAAUCUUAACAGCAACAUCUGCUCUGGUUCUAGCUUCUCUUCUCGUGGAACUUGGCCUCGUCCACUUGCUAAUGGCUCAUUAAACCAGGAAAAUGUAUCUGCAAAAUCACCUCUUUGUGACUAUGAUUCUCCUAUGUCAUCAAGGGCAAGUAACGGCCAUGUACUUGGCCAAGUUGAAAGGUUCAAAAGGCUGGAGAAUUCGUCAAGUUGCAGAUUAUUUGGCAUUGAUUUAAGAAGCAACUCAAAAAAUCUCUCUCUGCUGGAUAAGGACGGACCUUCUACAGUUGUACCAAAUGGUGCUAAUGAUGCUGAGCCUCCAGUUGGCAUAUCUGAUGGAGAUGUUCUGAAGUCUUGCAAUGAGAUGAAACUGGGCCAAUCAGAGGUGUCACCAAAAGAUGCAACUAACCGACAGGGUUGUUCCACAACUACAAGAACCCGAACAAAGGUUUAGCCAGAUGAUUUUCACCGUCGUCAUUUAAUAUUAGAUGUAGCCCUUUAACAGUGUUUAAUUUUUGUCUAUCAUCAGGUGCAAAUGCAAGGGGUUGCUGUUGGGCGGGCUGUUGAUUUGACUGCCUUGGAAAGUUAUCAUGACCUUAUAAGUGAGCUGGAAAAAAUGUUUGAGCUUGAGGGGGAGCUUAGUCCCCGAAACAAAUGGGCGGUUGUCUACACUGAUGAUGAGGGUGAUAUGAUGCUUGUGGGUGAUGAUCCGUGGCAGUGAGUAACUUAACAAUUUUCACCAACCAUUUCCUUGAAAAGUAAAAGAGGUUUCUUUUUAACGUACUAAUUCCUCCUCUUCCCCCCCCCCCACCCACCAACAGAGAAUUUUGCAAGAUGGUUAGGAAGAUCUUUAUAUACUCGAGCGAGGAAGUGAAGAAGAUGAAUACAGGAGACAAAUUCCCUUUAUUAACUCUGGAUGGUGAAGGGACAGUACAGAGCUUAGAUUCGGAGCUAAAGCUGGAAUCUUGAAGUAAUGUCAUCGUCUUCUUUAGUUUUGUAUUGUAUAUCUUAGAGCUAAUCAUCUGCGUCUUUAGUUUUGUAUUGUGUAUCUUGGAGGUGGAACUUGCAAGAGUGUUUCAUGGAACAUAGGCAGGUAUAUCUUUAGUGCUCAGGUUUUUUGGAGUUGGGAGGGUGUGCAAGCCAACCAAGUGACUGGUUUUGACGGAGUCUAGACUUAAACUAUGUUGUAUUAAAGAAAUUUGAAGGUUGGUUUUGGUAAAUGUGAAUGUCUUCUUGCCAUGUUUUUGAUCCACAAGUUACAAUUUAUACAUCUAUCUUUUGAUGGCAAAACAAUUCUAGUUGGUAGCUGGAAUAUGUAUGUGCGCGGCCGCGCGCUUGCUAUGUAAGAUUUUAUGCACUGUGCAGGCAAAUUAUGAAUGUAUAUUUGUAUGUAACUUGGUAGUGAUAUGUGAAGAAUUCCUCGUCUUGAUCUCCAGCAUUCAAGCGAGGAGGGCCAGACAUAAUAUGGCCCCCUAUGUCCAUUAUCCACUUAUUUGCUCUGUACUAGGAUCUGUACCAAUUUGGGCUUAUGUAUCUCUCCGAGUUCCAGGGCAGUGGUCCUCAACUGUUAAAAUGGUUUACAUGCAUGUGAGCCUAGUACGAACUGUUGCAGUCUCUGAGGCAGAAAUUUAGAGAUCCAUGAUUCUGUAUCAAAAUUUCUUUUUCCGUUCUAGUUUCCUGGGUAAUCUAAUAAUCUUACAUAAUUAGCAAAAGGGUUGGUCUCUCCGUUGCUUGAUAUCGGGUGAAAAGGAAGGAAAAUAAUGAUUUUGCACUAUUUUACUGCUGUUCUUUUUUCUCUUUUCAGAACAUCAAGAUUCGAGCUUUUUGUAACAAAGCUGAUCUCCUUUAGCUGUCCAUACCGAUUUCCUGGGGAUGUGUUUUUCAAAGUUGGUCUGUUUUGAGUGGACUGUAGUUAAUAUACUACCCUACAUUUUGACAAUUCAGGAACUCUCUCUGCUAUGUCAGAAAAAAGAAAGGGGAAGAGAAAAAAAUAACCAUGUCUAUGUUGGGAAAAAUAGGAAUUAGGGAAUUGAGAAGAUAAUUCAUUAGUAAGUAGGGCGAAAGUUUUGGCAAAUCUGGUUAUGGGGAAAAAAAAAUACUACUGAACAAUGAGGAAUAUAUUAGAAUACCCCCAUUACCAUCCAGAAAGCAUGCACCUUCCAAAGUCUAAAUCUCUGGCUCAGAAAGUAGAUCACAAAUUCACUAUCAAAACUGCAUGAAAAUGGCCACUCAUAAGAGACUGAAGGCGCCACCAUUACCACAUUUCUAUCUGGCAAAUAUGUCCAAAUCCAAACAAAACUUACAUUGAACUAUGAUGUUAUGUUGGAGGGUAGAAUCAGAAUGUGGAUUUAUUGUCAUUUUUGCAAGAAAGAAAUAUUACUGAAGAGGGCGAAGCGCCAGAGACCCAAAGCAGCUCUUUGAAUAUUGUUGUUUAGCAUUUAUGUGAUUUGGAAAAACAUAUUAACUCAUAUCAUCAUCAUAGGUGUUAAACCAAACCUGGAAAAGGACCCGGACAAAGGGACCAUUUGAAAUGGACGGUAGGUAGAUGAAUCAGCUAGUGGGUUAAUAGAAUAAUAUUUGCAAUUUCAUAAUAAUAAUUUUAGUGCACAUAAAAUUUUUUAAAUAAAGUACUUUUAAAUAAUAAUUAAUGUACUUUGAAAGAUAUAUUCUAAACCUAUGAUAAAAAGAUUUAAUUGCAUUUUAUUGUUCUUUCACAUAAUAGACUAUGUAAUCAGAGAUAAAACAAAUUUAUUUUUGUUUAGUUUCAAGGAAUUAGCAGCAUGAAGGAACAUUUAGUUAUUAAAAAAAGAAAAAUGCAAACAAAUUAAUCUAAAGGAACAUUUAGUUGUUAAAAAAAAAAAGAAUUAACCUAGUAAUAAUAUAUAAAGGAUCAACCGAAAUAAUUGGUCGGCUGUCCUAAUUGAAAAAGUAGGCGUGAUUGGGUCAAAUCCUUAUUUGAUCAAAUUAGGAAUCCGGCCUUAUUUAGUGGCUUGCUCAUUGGGUUGUAUGGUUCAAUUGUCGGACUAGAUCGAGGUGAACUUAAUAACUAUGCAUAUAAUUGUUAGAUAGGAGUAACAUUUUUCUAAUGCCAAAUUUGUCAAAACUAUUACCUUGUUAUAAAUUUUCAUUCUCCUCAUCAUCUUAUACUUAAUUUUCCCUUGGGGUUUGAAAGUUCAAAAUAGGAAAAAAUGGUUAAAAGAUGAAAAAUGAUUAACGUGUUGGAGUGAGGCAGAUGGGACUCGAACGAGGUCAUGUUGGCGGAUAAUUUUUCUUUUUCGAAGACGACAACUGUAAUAUAUUUUAAUUUAUCCUACACUAGGGAAGGGGGUGGACCUAAGGAAGUCUAGGGAUAACUCGGAGGGGACUGAACCACUACCAGACCAAACGGGUGCAUUGCGCACACGCCUGAAUUUUUUGAAGCAAAUCCACAUUAUAAUGUAGCAAUUGGUGGUGCCUCCCACUCAACCAAGCCUUAAAAGCUUGAUGGUGGCCACCAGCUCAAAGGCUGGUGGUUAUGUUGGCGGAUAAUCAACAAACUAACGGAAUGUUUUCAGGUUAUAAAACAAAACUGGAAUUAUUAAAUGACACCAGAAUGAUACAUCCUUCUCUCUCUUUCUCUCUCUCUCAAAUGCUUCUCUAAAUUGGAGCUCACCAUUUUGCCACACUGCAACAGAAAAGUUUUGUCAGGGUAAAUUCUACUUUGUCUCUUCAAAUUAUAGGCAGAAUCUCACUUCAAUUCCUAAAUUUUAAAAUGAAAUAUAUAAAUCUUAAACUAUAAAUCCACCCCACUGUAUUCCAAUUUUUUAUGGAAUGCACAAAAUCUAAUGAAAUAGUUCCCAAUUCUGUUAGUUGUUAUUAUAAUUAAAAGUUAACCAAAUCCAACAGGGACAUAAACAUAAUUUCAUAAAAUCCAAAACUUUUGUGACACUUUUUAUUUUUUCCAUUUCCUUUUCCCUUCUCUUUCCAAGCCGUUUUCUUUUGCUGCAAACUCUUCACCAUUCUCACCACUGCCUCUCUCCUCUUCCCCCGCCACCCUUCCUCCCUCCCUCCAUUCCUCUCUCUUCUCCUACCUUCUCACUCCCACUCACUCUCUUCCUUCCUUCCAAGAAAGAGGGGGAGGAGGGAGAGAGGGUGGCAGGGAUUAGAGGAGGGUGGUAGGGAUGGUGGUGGAGAAGGCAAUAUUCAUGGGUUUUCAUUUUCGCAAAAGGAGGGGAUGGUGAAGAUAUCACUAUUAUUGAGGGGUGAGCAAAAUUAUCCGCAAACUUGAAAAUUCGACAUAUUCGAUUCGAUCCGAUUCAAAAAUUAGUACACCCGAUCUGUAUUAUUUGAUCGGGUCAAUAGAGGGUUGGGUACCCGUUAAAAUAUGGGGCAAGUUAGGGUCACACAAUUAAAAACCCACGAGCACUAUAAAUUCCCGCCCCACAUAUAUAUAUAUUUAUUUUUAUACUCAUACUAUAAAAUAAUAUUUUUAAAACUAAAUAAGCAAUUUCAUUGAACAAAUUAUAUUACAAAUAUAAGAGACUAUAGUUUAUUUAUAAAACUCAUUUGUAAAGGUCAUGAUCUUAUGCUUUAUAGAAAAGAAUUUAACUAAUGUAGAACAUAUAUUUUAAAAAAUGUGUUACUUAUUUUUAAACUUUUAUUGAUAUUGAAUUCUUUUUAAAUUUUUUUGUAUUCUAUUUGCACGUUUGUUUCUUAGUAGGGGAAUUUUUUGAGAAAAAAAUCUUUAUUAAAUUUUUUAUGAAUCUGUAAAAUGUAAAAUUAAAUUAGUAUAAAUUAUUUUUUUAAAUAAUAAGUAGGACAUGACGGAUAUCCGCUGAUCCGAUCCUAUUUUAACGGGUAUCCUAUAACGGGGUACCUGCUAAUAUGUGAGGUGGAUAAGAGACAAAAAAUAGUUUACUCGCAAGGUGCGGGUUGGAUCAGUACAAUGAUAGACGGGACCGUACCCGAACCAUACAGACCCUACUGCUAUCUAGUGUUCAAAGAAAUGGGAGAGGCAACGUCGGAGGAUACCGUCCCAAACUUUAAGGCCUGCCUAAUCCCCGACCCCGUCUGCACUUUCUCAGGUGAUCAAUUUUAUCAUCAAGGAUAAAGAUGUUGGUCAGAGAGCUCGCCUGCAUCUACACUUCUUGGAUUCUUUACGACGAUGGCAUCCCUGUCACUGCAGAGAAGAUUGCUACAUUGGUGAAGGCUGCGAAUUUGAUCGUGGAAUCCUACUGGCCUAGUCUCUUUGCCAAGCUUUGCAAGAAGAGGAACAUCGAAGAUCUUAUCGUCAAUGUUGGCUGUGGCGGUGGCGCUGCCGCUCCUGUCGGCGGUGAUGGUGCUACCCCUGCCGCCGCUGAGAAGAAGAAGGAGGCGGCCAAGGAAGAGAGUGAUGAAGACAUGGGAUUCAACUUUGUUUGAUUAGGUGUUUCUCAAGCUUAUUCUCUUAGAAAAUAAUUAGGAUCAACCAAUUGGUAGUUUUUUGGUAUACUUUUGUGUUAUUUAAAGAAGUGGAUCAAAGAAGAUAUUUCGCAAAAGAGUAAUCUUCGUGGGCUUGAAUUAUCAUCAGUACAGAAUAUGCAUAUCAGCUUCUUGUGUCGAACCAAUUUCCUGCUGGUGAAAUUAGUCGUUAUGCAACAUUUACAUAUGAGUUUGAGUUACCCGAGCGAAAUCAGUGGUUUUUUUUCUGGCGAAAUCAGUGAUUUUUUUACUUUUAUAACUUGAAGGUAUUGAUACGGGUUGCUUUUUUAUUAUUAAAAAACUCUGCUAAAAACAAAGCAAGAUAGAACGAGAAGACAUUGAAAAUAAAAAAGGAAAGAAUAAUCAUAAGAAUAAAUAAAAAAAAGGAAAAAAAUUUACUAUAAAGGGAUAAAAAGGGAAAGGAAAAUUAAAAAAAGGAAAAAAUUAACCAAAAAUGGGUUUUUUGUUAGGUGUAAAAUUUUUUAUUUGAAUCGCAUAAAAUUACAUUUAUGUCCCUAUUAGGGUUGGCUAACUUUAAUUAUAAUAAGAACUAAAACAACUAUUUUGUUAUGUUUUAUGCAUUCUGUCAAAAACUACAGUAAAGUAUGAUGGAUUUUGUAGUUUAAGGAUUUAAGUGUUUCAUUUUGAAGUUUAAGAAUUAAAGUGAAAUUUGGCAUAUAGUUUGAGGGGGACAAACUAAAAGGUACUUUUUUUGUUAAAAAAAAAAUAAAAGGUAUCUUUUUGAGUUUUGAGCAAGAAAGAAAAGGUUAAGUCCUACUCUAUUUGGUUUAUAGCCUAGAUUGGUUAAGUCCUACUCUAUUUGGUUAAUGUUUGGAUUGCCGUUUUUCGUCGGAAAAUUACGUCGUUUUCCGUGAUCACAUUUUCCUAUUACCUUUUUCCCUCACAUACAUCAAAUCGUUACAGUAAUUUUUUCAUGAAAAAUCAUGAAAAAUGCAAUCCAAACAUUCCGCCAUCAAAUAUUUCAUUCUUCCUUCUAGUAAUACGUGUGUGGUGCAAUUCAGGUAAAGAUUUGUUGUCUAUACUACACUCUUUCUUUCAAAAUUUGGGGUUGGACAAUUUCCAAUUACUCAAAAAUUACUGAAGGCCAUGCAUCUACUGCACUAUUCCUAUUUCCUAAGCUGAAAAAUGCAGCAAAAAUUUACGUUUUUUUUUUUGUAAAAAAUUCCUUAAAAAAAAGUAAAACCAAAUAAAAUGACUCUUUGCCCAUGCGGACUAUAUUGCCCUAUGUUUUCAAGGUCAAAGGCUGGAGAUGUUUGUUCCCUUUUGGUUUUUUUCCACUGCCACUAGUUUGGUGAGGGAUAUUUCAUUAAAAAAAUUUCUAUAUUUUUUAUGAUUAUAUUUUUUAAUUAUCUUAAUAUUCUAUAUAUAUUAAAAUACUACGAUACAUUUCCUAUAAAAAUUUCAAAAAAUUGCAAUCCAAACCAGUGUUGUCAAAAUCGCGAUCCGGAUCGUAGGAUUGUACGAUCCUACGAUUCGGAUAACCAAAAUCAAUCCGAAUCGUAUUCAGAGUCGCAAAUUGUAUUAAUCUACAUAGAAUCGCGUAGGAUCGUAAUAGGAUCGGUAGGAUCGUGUAGGAUCGUACGAUCCUACAAUUUUUUGCAAAUUUGUGAAAUACGAGACUCCAUUUUGCAAGUAAAUGAAAACAUUUGUGGUAGGUUUGUGAUUUAUCAAAGAAUUGCAGCUUUUAAUUGUAAUUUUUUAACAAUUUUUGCCUCAAAAAGUCAAAAAAGCUCUUAUUCUUCUCCUCUACUCAGUUAUCUGUGUUGACUCGUUUCUUCAUUUUUCAUUUCAACCUUCAUUUUUCAGUUUUCACUUAUUCUCCACCGCUGCAGCUCCAACCAACAAGACGAUAUCGCUGUGGGUUCUACCAAAUACCAAGUACCAACAUCUGAACAACGGGAAAAUUUUGAUUCAGAUUCUACACAGGUUUGGACUUACUAUUCUGGCUUUGAAUGUCCUAAUUUGACACUGUUUUCUUUGUUCUUCUUUUUUUUGUUUUUGUUUUUGGAUCUUUUCAAUUGUCCGAUUGGAUCUUUUCAGUUUCAACAACAUGAUUUUGAUUUGCCUACCUCUUUAUAACGUUGAUUUGUCUAAAUGUCAUCAAGUGAAAGUUGCAAUUAAAACACAAAGUGCUUCAGCUCACAUAGAUUAUGUUUGCUUACUAUUGAUUGCAAUAGCUAAGCACAUUCCUUCAGCUGAAAAGUAUUGGGUGUCACCCGAACUUAUGAUUUUCUGGCCUUUAUUUUUGUUCUUAAGCUAGAAAGGUGCAUUAAUUGCCCAGAUAUUCUUAUUUAGACCAGAAAAAUGGGUUGCCGUGGACGUAUGCUUUUGAACUUUUUGUUAACAAGUUUGAAAAAUCUAAUUUUUUCUAAAUUUUCAGCACAAAUCAACAUUUAGCCUGACUUUUCUCAUAGUAUUACUUUGCAAUGGCUAUAAUUGUGAAAAGAAAAAUGCUAUAUAUUUAUUAUUUAUCAGGCAGUAAGUAAAAAAUGCUAUAUAUUUAUGAAUAACUUAUUUAUUUGAUAUCUUUUAGAAUGUACAAAAUGGUAUAUGAAUCUGAAAUUCAUUAAUUUAGUAAAUUUAAAAGCUUUUGGUGGGAUCUUACAAUCCUACGAUCCGAUUCUGUAAAACUAAAAUCGAUCCUACGUAGGAUCCCGAUUUUACAAACCUUGAUCCAAACAAGACUAAGGUUGGUUUUCCAUCAUCUUAUUUAUCUUUCUAUUCUCCACCCCUUCUCCCUUUUUGGGUAUUUAAAAAAGCAAGAAAAGAUGAAAAUAAAAACUUCCUCGUCUCUCGUUUAAGAGAAAGAAAGAGAGAAGCUUCUUAUUAACUCUACAAGUCGGCCCAGACGCGACUAAAGGUUGGACAGAUUGUGAUAGUAGUUCAGCCAUAAGCUAGGGAGAUUUUUCAGUCCCUGUAAGUUUGUUAAUUUCUUCACAUAUUUUUAGCAAUUUAUACCUUGCAAGGUUUUCUUAUUGGCGGGGGCGAAAUAGUUUAAGCCUUUAUGUUUAUGUACAGCUCUACUUAUUUGUCUAUUUUUUUCUUCAGCUCUACUUAUUUUCUUCAAACUUACUAAUUUGGGUGAAUUUGGGAGAUGUAAUAAUUGAAGCAGCUUUUUAGUUGUUCUCUUCUUGCAAGCCAUCUAGUUAAAAACUGAAAAAGAUUGGAACUUUGUUUUGAUUUCAAGAAUUUUAAGAAUUUCCAACCAAAUGCCGCCUGUAUUUCAGCUUUCUUUAUCAGGGUUCCUGUGGUAUCUUAAUUGAAAGUGCUUCUAGAUUUUACAUUUAAAUUUCUUUUACCUUUUCUAUUUGUUUUUUUUUUUUUUUUGGGGGGGUGGGGGUGGGGAGGGAAUUAGAAAGAUAAAAAAGAUUCGUAUAUUAUUCUUUAUUCUGUUUGCGGAAUUUGUAAUGCUGAAUUAACUGAGUGUAUAUCCUAGCAACAAGAUCAUGUUGCCAAGCAUUUGGAUUGAGUUAGGCAGCUGCCCUUUAAAUUGGAGAUAGCUGGCGAGUUCUUGAAUUUUCAUCUGAUUGAGUUCUGUGUUAGUUAAGCAAAAACCCAUCCUUUUUUUUGCUUUUUUCCUUCCUUUUUAAACAAAAUAGAUUCUGAAUUUUGUGAAUGUUCACCACGGGUUAAGCAGCCAAUGGAAUGGGUGUUUAGUGUGAGAAUCUCUGAUGUCAGCGUCAAUGAUUGAAGUUUAUUGUUUGAGAAAGAUAGUGUGGUGGUUUUGUCUACUUGAAUUGCAUGUAGAAUGACACUCUCUUCUUCGUUGUUCACCAAAAGAUCCAUCAUUGUUUAUUUCUUAAUCUACUUGGAUUAGCUACUUUAUUUGCUUGUUUUAUGAAUUCACAGAAUUUAUCAUGUAUUGAUAGUUUAUAAGAGCUAAUAAAAUGGAAGAGAAAAUAAGCACUGGCUGUGAUAACCACAAGGAUACCAUUUCUCAGCCCCUCUCACUUACGCAAUAAGCAUAAUGGAGCAAAAUGGUGAUUCAUUAGCAGUAUAAAGCAGCCUAGCUUAACAUCUUCUCUAUUAGUGGUUUGCAGGAUAAGAAAAAUUUCCCUGUGGUGGGUUGUCCCUGAUAGGAAUGAGCAAAGUGCGUUGAAAUCACGCCUGAGAUUGCCUGGAGUAAACUUGAAAAAUGAGAAAGAAUGUAAGGAAAAGUUCUUUUUUUUUUUUACCUUCUAAUUUGUAGAGUACCAUGGUUGUUAACUGUUUUAUUUGGCAGAGAAGUACUGUUGCUUUUUCCUCAUCUUCAUAUGUAGUGACUAGAAAUCUGUAAUGCUAUGAAACUAAAAUAGUUUAAUAAGGAUAGGGCAUUAUUUGAAAUAUUAUUUGGAAUAAUUACUGUAGCACUUUUUGUGAUGUGAUGUAUGUGAGAUAAAAAGGUGGUUGGGAAUAUAAAAAGGUGGGUUGAAAAAUGUGUUUAUGAUGCAAGCGAAAUAUUAUUUGAGAUAAUAGUGCUAUCCAAACACUCCCAUUUAUUACAACAGAGUUGAAAAUCCCAUCUUAGUCUUUUUUAGCACAUAAGAAAGGAUUGCAUGUUGCAGUUGGGCAGGAGGUUGGAGGGUACAGGAAAGGGAAGGAGAAACCUAUGAAGAAAAGGAAAUCCAAUCAUAUGUGGGUCAUGCUCAAACUUAGACAGUCUUAUAUGUCUUGAGGUCCUCAACUAGGGGGUAACUGACAGUCUAGUUAGAUGGCUAAAUGAAGGCAAGAAUCUUUUUCCUUGUUCUGGAGCUGGGGAGGGUGGGUGUGUUCUGCGAACUACAGACUUGUUUUGGGGAUGGUGCAUGGGUGGGUUUCUGGGAAGAGGGUGUGGAGAUGAGCAUAGAAAAAGUAAACUGUUCAUGAAAACUUACAUGUUGAUUCUUAACUAUAUAUGGACCAAUUUUUCCUUUCAACCAUUUAGCUCCACCUACAUCCAGCCUGCUUAUUCAUUUUUUUUUUUUUUACUGUUACACCUUGCCAGUCUUUUAACUCAGAUAAUUUAUUGUUUUCUUAAUUUCCUUUUUAUUUGUCUGUAUUGUAGAAUUUUCUACAAGACGAGGAUAAUCACUUGGAGAUGACUCGGGCUAGAUGUAAAUGUUUUACAUUGAAUUUUCUUUCUUUAUUUUUUUUUCUUUUGCGUCUUACUGUCUUAGUAGUAGUUUGUUUGACAUAGUUCUGAAAUUGGAAUGCAUUUUUCUUCUUGGAGUCUCAAAUGUGCUUAAAAGGCAUGGAGAAUUAGCAGAACGCCUGUCUAGGUAAUGUUUUUGGAGUUUAUCAUUUUUUUUUACUAUUCAGUAUUUUUUUCCAAGUUGUAACUGUACGUCUCUUUUUGAGCUUUUUGUUUGAAUUCAUCCUUAUUCAUAAGAAAAAUAAUUAGCUUCAAGCUGGGAAUCAGAAGAUAGAAUUUUCUCCUAUCUUACUAAAUGUGCUUUAUAUUUGAAGAGAGAAGCAGUAUUAUAGGUGUUGUUUACUGGUCGUUCUACUACUGGAAGGUUGGGAUAAAUUUAUAUACUUAUAUCAUAAUUAAGAAAAACAUUAUGUGCUAAUUAACAUAUCUUGAUGUAUAAAAAUCUCCAUGCAAGGUAGACAUCUUCAGUCCUAGAAACUUAGGCUUAAAAAAUUUUGGUAGAUAGGAUAUUGCUAGAAUUCUUUGCCUUUUGAUAUAUAUAUAUAUAUAUUUCAGCUGUCCAUAUGCAAUUCUGCACGUAUACUACGUUAGUUGACUUAAAUCUAAUAGAGAAUGAUGAUUAAAGGUUGUAGACACAACUUAAAAUGCCCAGCCUCAUAAGCCUUGUGCUUAAUGACCUGGAAGCAAAUAGCCUGCUGCUCUGAAUUGAGGUCCUUUCCUUGAAAUUGUUUGCAUUUUACCGCAUACAGAAAGGGCAGCUUUCUCCUAGAUUCUGAUUAAUUCUGGACUAGUCCAGCAGCUGUUUGUACUUGCGGUUCCAACGUGUUAUCUUGGGGGGUCAAUGUUUUGAGUGGUACGAUGAUUCUUACUCCUCAUGUUAUGAUGACUGUCUCACGCAAAACAUAGCUUGGGGAGUUUUCACUAGGAGUAAUUCUGUCCAAGACAUUAACAUCAUUCCCUUAAAGUCAAACUUGAUUUGAGAAUAUGAUUACCAGCGUCAAUGGCUCUGAUAUCACUAUCAAAAGCUUCAGUUUGAAUUGAAAUUUUUGGUUUACAAACCCAAGAGCACUUGGAUGCUAACAGUAUCUGAAGUGAGUAAAAUGAUGGAAAAUAUGGAAGUAUCAGAAUUUGAUCAAGGAAUUUAUUUCAUUUUAAGUUUUUCUCUGCAUCUUGAUAUCGUUUCCAUGCAAUACAUCACAUUUGGUCUUUAAGUUACAUGAAGGAAUAAAAUCUGAUAAACAAAGCUUAAGAAUGGAAAUAUGAAGCCAUUGGAAAAAGCAAUCGCCAAACCAUACAAUGCGCUCGGAAAAAAAAAGUCAAAGGUUAAAUGGGAAGUGGCUUUCAAACGUUUGCACAUGCAUACAGUGUCAUGUUGCUAGUAGGUUUUAAAUGUUACUAUCAUACUUCUGAAAGAUAGACGUGCUUUAAUAACAUUUGUUAUAAUUGUUCUGGAAAAGUUUCUUAGAGGUGACAUUGAAGUGGGCUGAGAUACGAGGGAAUAUUAUGGUUACUGCAGUCCCUGGCUAGAACUUAUCGACUGUUAAAAUUUUUUAGGGCAGAAUUAGUUACACAUGCAGUAGUUGUUUUCUUGUCUGAUUACUGUUUGCAGUCCCUGGCUAGAAUCAAAGUCUACACGUAGCCCAAGCUACUUGUAAAUUGCUAUAUUGGAAAGUAAAAUUGUCAACCCUUCUGUUAUAUCAGGGACUCUGAUAAGAUGAUAUUUGAGCGUUUGCAGAGAGAAUUUGAAGCUGCUAUUGCUUCUCAAACUCAAGGUAUGUUUGCAUGUAACCCUUGAUAUAGCUGAAGUUGGUGAUAUUUUUUUUGGUACUUCAAAGAAACUGCUAAUAGUGCUUUUAACUUCUACAUUUAUAUCUAAUAAUUAUAAGAUUUGCACUUGCUUUACUAGUGUCAUUAUCUGUUACAUGACAAAUUUGGGAUUGUUGAUAGUAUCUAUCUUGACUUUUCUCCUCUUCUCAGUAAAUCGCAUUAACUGUUAGGUUAUCACAUGUUCCAUAUUUUGACGAUUGAGGCUCUGUUUGGUUGUGCAUAAAAUACUUUUUUGGAAAAUGUGUCCAUCCUUUUCCUCCUUUUCUGUAUAGCCUCUGUUCUUCAAUUUGUCCCUCCACCAGCUUCAAAACUUUUAUGAGGAUGGAUAUUUUUCUUGUAAGUUCUAUAUUAUACAUUCCUUUUUCAAGAAGCUUUUUACUAUGCAGAAAUUUCUUUAGAUGGUGAGCAGUGGAAUGAUGGAUUAUUGGCUACAAUAAGGGAGCGGGUAUGCUGUUUCAAAUUCCACAUGACUUGUAACCUUGGGCUUUUCUUGGGCAGUGGUGAUAUAACUGUUCUGUUUGAAAUAUUAUAUCUUUUCUUUACAACCCUGUGCUUAAUAUUCUUCUAUUAUGAAGCCAUCAGCUAGUGCUUUUAUCUUUUAGUUAAAGAAGGAGAUAGAUAUAAAUUGAGAAUUUCAUGGUUUAGUGCUUUUUUUUUGGUAUAUUUAAUUUUCAACAUUAAUAAAGUGCUAUUCCUGAAAUCAAAGCUCUUUCAAGUACUUCUAGUAGAAUUCUUCUGCUUGCAAACAGACUCACUGCCUAGUAGUUGAAAGGAUGUCUGCUUAACAUGACUAGUGCUAAAUGUAGUAAAGUGGCAAAUUUUGCUGGUUCUAGCUAAUAAUCUGCUGUAUAACUUGCUUUUCCUGUUUGGGGUAGAUACCCUGUCAUCUUGUUUUCAGCUUUCAUACUGCAUGUUAUAUUGAUUGAUACUCACGUGAAGAGGUCCUAAAUUGCAUCAGGUUCAUAUGGAGGCUGAAAGAAAGGCAAUGCAAUUGCCAGGGGAUACAAGCAUGUUGCAUGGUCUUCCUUUUCAUGAUAAAAUCACUUACAAAGUUGCAAACAAGGUAUAUUCUGGCCAGUGAAUAUGUAUACUCAAGCUGGUAAUUUACUUAAAUAAUUUCAAUUUAGAUGUUUAAGAGUAUUGAAAUAUAACUUGGGCGCGUUGUUGCUUAUGACCUACAUAACAGCACUAGAAAGAAGAAGUAUUGUAAAGUUAUCUAUCUUUUUCAGUUGUAGUUUUGCAGGUAUUUAUCUGCGAUCCCUUUGUAGAACUUUGUCGCACUUUGUGCACUGGAUUAGGACUCUAUUCCCUGUAUACAUUUGCCUCUCACAUAGUUUUCUUGUUCAAGUAGAUGUGUAAGAAUAUCUUUGUAUUCAUACAUAUUCUGAUCCCCAAAACCUUUUUGUAAAAUUAAGCAUUCAAGAGCGAACAAUAUUUGGGCUUUUUACUUAAAAGACUAAUGAGCCAUUGAUGCAAAUUGUUCAAAUCUAUAAUUUCUCAUAGUUUUACAGAAUUGUGCCAUAUUUUGUUUAUUGAGCAGAUUAUCUGUUGUUUGGAAGGAGCAAGGAUCGGCAUACAGUAUGAGACAACAUUUGCAGGUAAAUUUGGAAAUUCAUCACUGAACAUUGGUGUCAGAAACAUGUAUUCUGUUCCAUGAUUAUAUAUGUAGCUGUUUUGUCUUGUGUUGCGAUACAUUGUUGAGGAAAUGAUCGUACUUGACUAUGUUGAUAUUUGUUGCCAUCUAUGUGUAGUUUCUUGUCUGCAGAUGAAAUCAUUUUUGGGGAAAAUGGAAGCCACAUAAAGUGCAUUUAGGUUGAUUGAAUAACAAAGAGAUAACGAAUUGAGCACUGGAAAAAACAAUUGCAGCUAUGAUUUAUUGUAGCUUUAGAAAAUUUUCCGUAGUCUUUAAGGUGUCUAUUUGUAUCUUGAAGCAGAAUGGAUGUCUCUGACUAGGGUGAUGUGGUUUUUUAUUGUUGUGAAGGAUCUCUUAUACAUUGCCGUUUUAGAUUUGGUGCCAUUUUGUAUGUUGUAUAUUGGAACUUUUAGCUUUGCUUUUCAUUCUCUUUGAUUUUAAACUAGGUUGUCAAUAUAUCACGUAGUUCUCCAAAUAGCAAUUAAGUAAAAAGCAAUGCAUCUGGUUUUGCAAUAUUGCAGGAGAACCCUGUGAAUUGUUCCACUGUGUGCUUGAAAGCAAGUCAUUUCUUGAAAAGAUGACUGUCCUUGAGCAUACAGUACCUUUUUUCCUACCAAUACGUGAAGCUGAAAAUGAGUUUCUCUCUUCAAAUGCGAUGGUGAUAUUUAUAGCUUUUGAUUUUUCACAUUAAUAUUUCCUGUCUGAUUUUGUUUUAAUGUAGCUUUCUGCAUUUUACCUCCAGAAAUUCAUAGAUCAUGUAGGAGAUCUAUUGCAGGCCUAUGUUGAUAGGCGUGAACAGGUAUGAUGCGUAACAGAAGAAAGUUUGUGGAAUGUUGGUCUUGAUGUUUAGAUAGUCACAGAUAUUGGAUAAUGCUACAAGAAUUUUGCAGAAUUCUCUCUAAAUUGGAGUUUCUGACUCAUACUUGGAUCAAGCAUGUACGUAGUUUAAGUUGCUAUUUGGUUCAGACAUACCAUGGCUCUGUGAAGCCUACAUAAGACAUGCUCAAGUAGCUAUAUUUGUUUCAUUACCUGUCCCUGAAAAAGAACCCCAUCUCUGUCUAUGCUUGUUCCAAAUUUACUUAAUUAGAUUCAAGAUUAUUUUAAUCCCACUUUUCCUAUUAGUAUUGAACUGGGCACCAGAACAUAUUUCGAAAGUCAAAGGACAAUCUUGCAAAUUUAUUAUUCUCCUGCAAAUUUUGAGCAUGUGAAAUUCUUAACCUUUAAAAGUUAGAUUUGUACGAAAGUCCUUUUCAUGAUGGAGAGAUAAUAUUUAGGCGCAUGGUUGUGCAACAAUGACAGUUCUAUAGAAGUCUGAUUACUUGAUAUUUACCACCUAUUGUCUGUUUGGAUGGUUGGAAUGCUGCCACGUAUUUCAGUGAUAUUAAAUGGAAAUUUCCUGAAUUUAACAUGUUAUUAUCUUCCCAUUUCUUGUGAUACAUUUUUGAAAUCAGUUUGGUCUAUUUCCAGCUCCCUUUUCUUGUGGUUUUCAGGUUCGCCUUAUCAAGGAAUUAUACGGAAAUCAAAUCAAAGAACUUUACCAUAGUCUUCCGUACCACAUGGUUGAAUUUUUGCUUGACGAUUAUGAUUGGUAGGUGGAUUCAGCUUUCUGCCUAUGAUUUUGGUUUUGUUUUGUAAUGAUGAUUAAAAAAAAAAGGCUGGUCAUAGGUGUAAUGGCAAAAUAAUUGUUUAUUAGUAGUUUAAACAGAUAAUUUGUUGAAUGCAUAAAUAACUGCAAAAACGUGGUCUUUUUCUGCAGUAAGGUGACGGUAAGUCUUAGAUAUGCAGAUCUUGUCUCUAUACUUCCAACUGGAGUCAGUGUCCUGGCAUGGCCAAUGCACAGGAAUUUCAUGAACAAGAAGGGAGGCGGACCAUUAGGGAGUAAAACCAUUCCAGAAAGGCUGUCUUAUGCAGAGGAUGCUUUACGAACCAUGAGUUUACCUGAAGGUAUUAAGUCAAUAGAGAUUUAGCCAUAUUGUAUAAUUUGCAUUAGUGAUGCAUUGAGAGGCUUUUCUUUCGAUUUUAUUCAGAGAAGGAACUUUCCUUCUUCAACAUUGCAUGGGUAUCAUUGUUGUAAAAUCUUUGGUUUUCGGUUCUCACCUGUCAUUGAUCAUCAUCAAACAAUUGUCCUAUGCUUAAUUCUUCUUUUAAUGGUUUAUAUGGUUUUUUUUUUUUUUUUUUCCACAAAGCUUGAAUGGUGGAAAGAAAGACAUGAAAUUGCUAUUUUGGAUGUGAAAAGUAUGUUCAAGAUGCACAGCCUGGAAAAAGGGAUACAUCUACUUUUGCACAUAUAAUUGAAAAUUAAAAUGCUUUGCGAACCAAAACCAUUUAUAGUGUCCUAACCUGAACAAUAAAAUGUAUCACAGAAAUUGAAAUAUAACCAGUUUCAAUGUAUGCUUAGUCCAUGUUAUUCCUGCUCAGUGGCGCACAGUGAUAAUUAGCUUACAUGAAUUGAGCCCAUAAUUUGGAUUCCCAGUUAAAUAUCUCCCAUCUCACUUGUUAGCCAGCUGCAUACUCUAGUGUUAAUCAGGUUGAAAAUCUACAGUUACUGUUUUUCUUAUGUAUCCUGAGCGCCAUGAGCAGUCCUCUGUAGAUUUCGUCGACAUAUACUUUUUAACGACAGAUUCCAGUUGGAAAACUGAUCUAGAAUUCCUGUAUGAUUGUAGAAUUGUUAUUCCGCGCUCUCGUAGAAGUUCUGGAAUUGCCACUGGUUCUGCUGUAUUAUUUUGAAGAAUAAACUUGGCAUGCUUUAGAAGUAUUAGAUAUGCUUUAGAAGAAAUUGAAAUAUAACCAGUUUCAAUGUAUGCUUAGUCCAUGUUAUUCCUGCUCAGUGGCGCACAGUGAUAAUUAGCUUACAUGAAUUGAGCCCAUAAUUUGGAUUCCCAGUUAAAUAUCUCCCAUCUCACUUGUUAGCCAGCUGCAUACUCUAGUGUUAAUCAGGUUGAAAAUCUACAGUUACUGUUUUUCUUAUGUAUCCUGAGCGCCAUGAGCAGUCCUCUGUAGAUUUCGUCGACAUAUACUUUUUAACGACAGAUUCCAGUUGGAAAACUGAUCUAGAAUUCCUGUAUGAUUGUAGAAUUGUUAUUCCGCGCUCUCGUAGAAGUUCUGGAAUUGCCACUGGUUCUGCUGUAUUAUUUUGAAGAAUAAACUUGGCAUGCUUUAGAAGUAUUAGAUAUGUAGCUGUUUGUAUACUUAAUUUGCACCAAAAAUUGCUAUUCUUGAUUCACGGGAUUUGUUGCCGACUGGAAACGUGGUUUCGUUUCUGACACGUUCUUGGUUUCUCUGUUAAUCAAGUGCUUUAAUUGAAAUCCUUUGGUUGUGGUGAAGGGAUCUAAGUUGGGGUCCCGUUGAAGCAGACUUAUAUAUAGUUGUGUGUUAAACUGCGUUUCUGGAGGAUUAACAUGCAUGCUAACACGCUGACAUGCUUUCCUUUGCUCCCUUCAGCUUACGCAGAGAUUGUUUUGAACCUCCCUCAUACUCUGCAGGAGAUAUAUCCGCACAAUGCUUCUUCAUAAUCUCUCAACUUCAUCACUGUAGAGAACGCUGAGAAAUGGAGAGAUGGUUUAUGCAGAGACAUUGAUUUGCCAGUCACAGUGCUGCUUGUUCCUGAACGGAGUAUGCAUAGGUGAAUUUUGAUUGUUGCAAGAGGUUGAGUUCUAUCAUUUCUCUUGGUUGUAAUGCUAUAAGCAUCCAGUCUCUAUCCUCCACAUGAAUGAUGAUUUUUUUGGGUUGCUGAUGUUACCGUGCAUAUCCCAUUGAGGAGAAGCUAGUAGGAUAGUAACGGGACCAUAUAUAUAUAUAUAUAUAUAUAUAUUGUGCUUCUGCUUUUAGGUUGACAUCAUGUCUGCUCCACAAAGCUAAAGCAGUAAAAUCCCUGUUAAAGAGGGAGGGGGGAAUCCCUAUGUUUCUGUAUGGAUGGUAAUCAUAGUCUCUAGGAAUUUAACUUUUGUCUUGUUGGGGUCGGCAUUUGGCAAGUAUGAUCAUCAUGUCAUUCCCUGUGGCUUUUCCCAUCCUGUAAAUACAUGUAGGACAGGUGGAGGACUUCUUAGGACGUGGCCCAAUGGAGAUUUUGUCAGCUCAUGUAACGGGCAAACAUAGAAGAAUUUCUCAUGAGCCGUAGGGGCCGUUAUACUGGUAGAGUAUUCUUCACAAUACAGAGGAGGAUCACGGUGGUUGCCGACAAUUGGAAAAACAAUAUGAAUAGCAUCAUAAAAGUAAUCAAAGCAAAUACCACAACGAACGAAAGGGGUGUGCCAUCUCUGGCUGGCCUCGGCCCAUGUCAUGUCAGUGAGUACAUUUGCUUGGAAGCCAUCCGUAAAUGCAUGAAACCACGUAGUGUGUGUACAUGCUCUGACCUUUCUAAAAUAUUAGUUACUUUUUUCUGGUGCUUUUCCUCUUGGUCUUCUGCGUUCCAAAAUCAAAGCUGACAAUGAUUGUUAGCUAACUUUGUGCAUAUGGCAAUUUUCCACUAGCAGAAGAUGCGGACAAAGUCCAUAUCAAAAUCAACUUAACCACCUCAUUAUCUUAUCCGACUGGCAGGAAUUUGCACCAAGAUAAAUGAGUACUCCCCCUGCUCACACUAAAAGAUCCAUCCCCACCAGUAUUGAAGGUAGUUCAGCUGUCUAAAUUCUUCCAUAUUUUGAUCAAUUUAUAGCACAUCUAACGAUCUUCCAAUAAAUCACUUUUUCUGCUUAACUAUUUGACAAUAAUUUUGCUGCACAUCUUCUUCUUUUUUGCAAUGCCAAAAGCCAAAAGCCAAAAGCAAUUCUGAGAUCAAAUCGUGGUGGUCGUGUUCCAAACUGAUACAACUAGGCGAUUCUAGAUGACUCUCGAGCAAUGUCAAACACGGGAGAGGAGAAGUAACUUAGAACCUAGAAUGACUCUUGCUACGGACAUACUAUUUGGCCACCAUUUACAAGUUACAGCACUCUAUUCACAGGCACAGCUACACAACAUAAAAGGGUUUUUAAUGCUAGUGUAUAAGAUUACCAGUACAAAUUUUUAGUCCCAUGAUUCAAAUAAAGAUGGAACGGCCCGGCAAGAAAAUAGUUAAAAAAAUCACACACAAACACGCACACACAUGUUUGCUUUUUUCUGUUUACUUUGCUGCUGUGGCUCUUUAAUGUUCCUUUAAUUUAAAAGACUGAAGAUGGGCAUAUGUGGCUCAGGGGGCCAAAAAAACAUUUAACAGGAAAUUCAAAGUACAGCAAUAAUCAAAUGGCUAAAUGAUUCUUUCAACUUAGAAACCAAAUGCAACUAAUAUUAUUAAUUGUUGGACAAUGGUAUACGCUCAUCAAAACUCUUUGCUAGAACAGACACAGACGAAAUUUGUGUUGAAGUGAUGGUUUGACAACAAAGCGGUAGUCCUACUAUUAAUUUGUUUUUCUUUUUUGAUUUUAUAUUUUUUUUGACAAUGAUAAUAUUUAUAUAAUCCCAUCUUUUCCGUGAAAUUUGCGUUGAAGUGAUGGUUGAGGAGCCAUGUAUGACAACAAAUUUUCAUGUAAAAAGAAAACCUCAAUCCUACUAUUAAUUUAUUUUCUUUUGAUUUUAUACUCUUUUUUUUCGAUAAUGAUAACAUUUAUAUAACCUAUGACGUGAAAUUUGCGUGGAAGUGUCAAAGUGAUGGUUGAGGAGCCAUGUAUGACAACUAAGUUUUAGUCCUACUACUAAUUUGUUUUCUUUUGACUUCGUACUCAUCUUGGACAAUCAACCAUAGCAGCAGGCAGGGCUGACUCAUAUUAUAUAUAGAGAAUUAGAGGCAGGAGUAGGACAGUAGUAUCUGGUUCAAUACAACCACAACCCAAAGCAAGGUGUGAGUUUUUUACUAGGAAUGAGAUUUGGUACACAAUUAUGAGCUAACUACUGAUUAACUAUUCAUUCUCAUUCCAGACAAAUAAAUACUAGCAGUAUUUUUUAUUUUUUUUUGAAGGAAUACUAGCAGUAUUUGAGUCAAACGGGUUAUGUGUUGAAUUAUCUUCAACAUGCAAAAACGGAUGCAUAUUAUUAGUACUAAUAUGCUAAAAAAAAUUGUGAGACAGUUGAAUCGAGCGUUAUAUUAUUAUUAUUAGUACUGGACAAAAAAUUUGAUUAACCCACAACCUGGAGCAUUAAACUAUUGAAUAUGCAAAUGCCUCUAGAAUCCAAUGCACUGCUGUGUCCGACUAAAACACCACUGCUGAUUUAGUCCCUAAACUAUUUUACUAAUUCUCAAAAUAGUCCCUAAACUUUCUUACGAGCCAGUCGAUUAAAAAUAGGAAUUCUGGACACUGCCCUUAUUAAAAAUAGAAAAUGAAUAUUUACCGGAAAUUGAAUCAUAUAGAAAGCAACAAAAAUAGAUCUUCUUAUGAAGAGCAAAAAAAACCGAGCUGGUGCCCUAAAAAAAAUUUCACAUAGAUCAAGCUCAGUCUAUUAAAUGGAGAAAAGGAAAAUAACGCAAUAGGAGUAUGCGAAAAACUGAAAAAAAAUGGGCUAAUAUUAUGAUCACCCUUUUGGGAAUUAAAGCUAAAACAAACUCACUUUCCAUAUAAUCUAAUUUCUUUGCCGAUUUCUCGACAAAUGUAUGCUUUUCUAUUGUUUUAAUAAGAGUUCCGGUUAGAUUGUCGACGCUGAAAGUGAAAGGUGAUAAAUUAAAUUGAUCACCCAAAUAAGAAGGACUAAACUAGUUAUGCAAAUAUACAUGAUGGACUGUUUGGACUUAAGUAAAAUAGUUGAGGGAUUAAAUUGGCUCAUACUUCGAUUUUGUUAAAAUAAUUGAGGGACUAAAACUGACCCAUAAUGAAGUUUAGGGAGUAAAUUGAUGUUUUGCUUGCAGUAUCCCAUGGAUUACAAAAGCGAAUUUCUACUAAAUAAAUUUUUUUAAAAAAUAAAUGAUUUUACAUCUAAGAACCUCUUUUCAAACCCUAAUAGGAUUAAUCAUCAGAAUGACUGUUUAUGAGUAUCAAGUUUUACCCUAUUCUAUUCAUUAUCAUCUCUAGUUGCUUACAGGGUGGAAGUGAUAUUUUUUUCCAAAUAAGCAUAAGAUUUUAGAGAUUUUGUUGAACCACUUAAGUAACAAAUUGUCCUUUAGCGAAGCAUCUUUUUCCCUUCCUUCUAGUAAUUAGAAUUAUAGGCAAAGCAAUAGUUUUCUUUUUUUUUUUUUAAAAAAAAAGCAAUAGUUUAAGCUCAACUGUUGGAAUUGGAAGUUUAGGAAACAAAAUCCAUCAUGUAUGCCAAAAUCCAUAUAGUUGAAAGGUGACUCUAUUGACAAACAAUAAAUACACGACAUGGAGUGAUUAGUGAUAUAGCCUAGGCUUACAGAUGAGGAAUGAAAAGUCAUGAAAGAGCGAGCUAUUCCACCAAUUACUCGAAGAAACAAAAAGAAAUAGGUACCCCACUACUAAUGGUGAAAGGUCCUCCGCAAGGAAGCAUAUAUAGCCAAGAGGAUACGGCAGCUGCAUGCCAUGUUUUCUUUGUACAAGACCCUGGGCUGGCACUCUUCCAAGCCUAAAAAGUGAAAACAGUAGGAUGCACUAGAAAUCACAUCUGAUCUAAAAUCUAAAGAGCAAGCUGUUCUCUUUUCCAUGCGUUCCACAGUCAAAAAAAAAGACUUGUCAUACUUUUUUCUUUCUGCUGUUUUUAACUCCAGAGUACUCUCUCCUCCUCCCAAGUUCUAAAGCCAUUUGCAUAUUUCUUUUGCAAGACCAUCAACCUCUCCGUUCCUCCAUCAUAUCCACAAGUCUCAACCCACACCUUUAAGCCCUGGACGUCCUAACAGGUUGCCAUGGAACCUGAUACCAGUUCCACACCAAAGCUUCCUCUAUUCUCAAUGGCAACCGUGCAAUCACCUGAGCAUUCAGGUAUGCUAACCCCACCUCUAUACACCUCAGCUUCAGUUCCAUUUAGGUGGGAGGAAGAGCCCGGAAAACCUAGACCCUGCACCGCUCUCAUCGCUCUUCCCACCAGCACCACCACAGAGUCCCCCAGGUGCUUAGACCUGCCCCCUAGGCUAUUCUUGGAGCCCAGCAAGAUUACAAAAACACCCUCCCCCACCACAGUGCUGGAGGGCCCUUAUGUGUUGGGCAGGCCUAAGUUCACCUCAUCCUCAUUCAGAUUCUUCAGGGAGCGACAAGGGUCAUUUGACAGUAGUAGCAGUAAGAGUCCCGAGAGAGGUCAACUCAGUAGUAUGGUACUUGGCAAGAAACUGCACAAGGGAAGAGGACUCUUCGGUUCCUGGAGACAAAAGACACCUAAAUUUAGGUCUGGAAAGAGGGAAGCUGGGGGAAGUUGUAGCUUCGUCCAUCCAUCUUCAGUCUCAGUAGAUGGUGCGGACACUGGAAGUGAUGAUGGCAAUAUUCCCAGGGUUAAGAUUGGGAGAAUAAGAAGAAAUGGAAGCUUUUCAAGUCUCUCUCAAGCCAAGUCUCAAUUUUGGGUAAGUUCUCAAUUACCAGCUAGUUAUAAUACUGCGAUUACUACUUUCUAUCAUUUGGAUUGACUGGCUGUGUGGCUAAAUUCACUAACAAAGUUCAUUACUUUUUCGGUGGAAAUCACUCAAAUUUGUUGCUACAACCAAAAAAAAAAAACCCUGACUUUCCUCCCCUUUUUAACAGCAUACGGGCUAUGGAAUGUAUAAACUGUUUAGAUGAAACCCUAAUGAUUAGGCAGUCGAAGAUUUGUUGCCGCAUGCGAUUAAAGUGUCUUUAAUUGCAUUUAACAAAGGGAAAGAAUGCUAGGAGUUGCUAAAUACUAGUAGAAGUACUAGUUGUAUGGCAACUAAAAAGUCCAAGUUCAUUAAAGGGGUAGGUAGGUGGCUUUCUGUCCACAACUACAAUGUUGUACAAUCCAUGAUGGUGGUGAGGGGAGGGUGGGGCUGGCCGCGUAGGUGACGGACGAGUUUAACCUUGGUAUGGUCCUCGAUUUAAUAGGAGCCAUGUCACAGCCCAUCUUACCCUUUAUGCUAAUCCCAGACUUGGAAAUUUCAAUAGUUCGCCCUCUGUGGCCGGUGGGGCUUUAGAAUUAAUCAGCUGGCCUUGGGUGUCUCCGUGUGUGUGUGUUAAAUCAGUUUCGUUGCAAAAUGAAUGGCUUAAUGCCAUCAUCAUGAGAGAUGGUGGGAGUGGGACCUUGUUUUGAUCAGCGCACACACUCCUGAGUGUUGACUGUACCCCUCACAUCAUAUGUCCUGAAACCAAAAUCCGGUGGCUACCGUCUUGACCCAGUCAGUCGAGUCUCUCUAAUUUACUUCGAUCGUCUGUUGCACGGGCUCGUUCGAGGUUUGUCGUCCAGUCCUGUUAAUGUAGUACAAGCGGCCAGGUCUGUCGUCUGUGGCGAGGCGUAUGGAGUGUCCUGGAGGGUGGAGGAUCUGGCCACUGUACGUAAAUUCUCCUUUUCUUGGGUUGCCCGCAAUCUUUUAGUACGCCACGGAAGGAAUUAGUUGCGCCAACAUCGGAACCAUUUGAAUCUCAUUCCGCCAAUAUGUAUAUACGUACGAGAGAUUUAAACCCCUUUGAAUGCCCAAAAAAAAAUCACAUCCUUCUAUCGAUUGAGCAUCUCAAAAAGCCUAGGGAAGAAUCAAUUAAAGGUGGUUGCUAUUCUCCAGAUGAUUUCUUUCUGGUCCCCCAGAGCUAUGACAAAUAUUUCAUUCCCAUUGUUUGUAAUGUUUACCCAAAAUAUAAGCAGAUAUUUACGGUUCAUGAUUCGUACUCCUCCGUCUUUCCUGUAGGCUGCAGUGUACGAGGGCUUUAAGCAAGUGCUUCCGUGGAAGAGCAGAAAAUCAAAGAAAGGAGUUCUGUAGUUUACACCUUGCCUAUGGAUAUCGUGCAAUGUAAAAUUAAUUACUUCUGCAUGCCUAGGGAUAAUCUUGAUGUCGAAGAAGUUCCUCAAUCCGAGGAACGUGUGUUAUUAUGGCUUUGCUGUAGCUCCUACAUGCAGUGCAGUUAUUCCGGACUCCGACGUAUUAAGCGGACACAAACGAAUCAAAUUAUUUAUUUAUUUAUUUAUGUACUACUGCAGAAUCCCACUGCUAGUUUUGCAAGUAAUCAUACAUAACUUCCCGUGAAGGCGAUUCGUGGUUCAGUUUACCCCAUUUUCCUGUCGCUGUUACUGUGAAAGACGCCUUUGCUCAGACCCAGAUUGUUAAAUAUCCGAAAUAAUACGACGCCAGCAGGAGCGUCAAAAAGGCCAAAAAAAAAAAAAUAAUGUUAUGGAAAACUUCAUGCCUACACCAACAGCCAGAUUGUCCUAGACUCGAACUCCCAGCUUAGAUGAAUCACCUCGGAAUCCAAGGGCCUGUUCUAUUCUAUCUUGAAAUCCAAGAUUUGAAGUUCAUCCAAUACCAUUCCGAGAUGCAGAAGAAAGGCAAACGACAAAAAUCAAUUUCAACUUAUCUUUUACCAUCCUGAUCCUGGGUACCACCACUUGAUUCAUGCAAAAGAAUGUUUCCUCCUUUAACUUCAGAAGCAAACCAAACUCUACGCCACAAGAGUCUACUAAAACUAGACCAAUUGUGCUCCUACUCCAAAUAAAACAACCAAGUUUUGCAUGGCGCAGCUUAGAAAUGCCUGGAAAGAUCUAGAUCUCUAUCUUGUAACUACAGACAAAGGAUCGAUUAAUACCUCCCAAGCUUUAUACUAAAUGCAAGAGUUCUACUUUAUGCUGGCCCCUGACAUGCAUAAAAUUGUAUACAUGCCUAAUCCUCUAACCUUGAUGACAGUAACCCUAAAAUAUGGUCACAUUAAGCAACAAAAUUCAUCAAAAUUGCCAAAAAUCAAAGAUAAUAAAGAAUGCAUCAGUAAACAUGACAUGCAGGAUACUAACUAAAGAUUUUGAAAGGACAGAAAGCCAAGGAGACAAGACAGAGCAUGUCCAAGCAACACGCCUAGCUAGUAUGAUCAAGCUCAAUUUCAGUACAAAACAGUUCAUAAUUAGAGACAAAAAUUAAAAAAUUCUGGACCUUAUUAAAGAUUUAUAAUUGCAUUAAGACAUUACAAGAAACCGUUGACAUUAUCCAUCACCCAGACGGACCUUACUUUUUACCAGUCAUACCAGCAACCACCUGCAAAGAAGAAGACCAAACAAACAAAUAAAUAAAUGAGUCCAACUUAAGAGGGUGAGACUAGCAGUCAGUCCGUUUUGUGUAUAAAUCAUUACAUGCUUUUUCUAGGUUUUCAUCAGGGUUUCAAAAUCACUUGAGAGUCAAAGGAAAGUAUGUCUUUCAAAAGAAUCUCAGGGGCCCAGAUUAUUUGAAAAGGGCUUCUUUAGAAGCCCAGAGGGGGCACUAGGAAAACUUCCAAAUUAUUAUGACAGGGGAACACAUCUGCCAAGCCCUCCCAAUUGCCCAAGCUCCAUGUCCACCCGAAACAUAGAGAACCAUGUACGCUGUUUGACCAGUUCAACUGUCUAAAAUGCGAAGGAAGACAAAUGUGAUUAGGAAACUUCACCAACAUUUGAACCUCACAUACUAGUCCAAAAGCAGCUGCGACUAAGUGUACAUCAAACGAAUAGCUAAUUUAGAGGAUAAGUGUUGGCAAAAUAGUUAUAAUAUAAAAGUUUGAAAGUGUUUAAAAACAAAAUCUUCAUGUUCUAGCAACGGGAAUUCAAAGUAAGACCACAUAUACCACGAGGGAAACAAAUAACAUUCAAAGGUGAAAGUAAUCAGACAAUUCAGCAUAUUGAGGGAUAGGUAGUAAGACUCAAACUUUAAUGCUUACAUCACUCAAAACAGGUUGAGGGACCUGCUUCGAUGAUUCAAAGGAGUCUAGUAUAGGCCUCACCACUGCUGGAAGAAAGAGACCUGAGAUUUUUCAGACAUCAAGACAUGUAAGAUCAAGUUGUCUACUCUGUUUACAAAAAGGAGGAAAGUCAAAGAAAAAAGUUCUCCAACCAAGGGGAAGAGGGGAAUGAUGGAGAACUGUUUCAAAUAUCGUGCUUGCUAGAUUCUCCAAGAUCUAUACAUUUGUGGAGGCAUCUUCUGAUUAUUAACAAUCGCACUUAAAGUGAUGCCAAACAAAAUUGCACUAGUUUUGCAUGGAUCAAAAUUUUGAGAUCUUCCACAGAUGAAUGCAAAAAUAUGCUAUUACAAAUCUCCUUUGAAAGCUGAGCUACAGUGGAAAAAGAAAACUGCAAUUUCACAACUAUAGAAUCUCAACAACUGACAACGUUUUUAUAAUUUCAUUCAUAAAAUGAAUAACAAAAAUGUCUUACACUUUGAUCCAAGGUGACAUAAAGGCACCCUUAAGUCAUCUAAUAACAUUCCACAACUCUAAGAUAUAUGCCACAUGAUCAACUAGACCAUAAAUUUAGCAUAAUUCUCAAGCCAAUGAAGAAGAAUCGAAUUGUCGAUUUCACCUCCUUUGAGCUGCUAUAUCACUUGUUAAUAAAGUCACACCUCUCCUCCUUUCCCAGUCCUACUCAUUUUUGUUUUCCACAAAACGGGCACCAGAAAACCUUGAAACGUAUAGUGUUACCAAACUUAAAACUAUCUCAAUACUUUUUCAUGGCUGAAUCUUAUAUUUUUAAAAUGCAAUCAUUCAAAAUCUUUGGCAUAUCUCCCUUUUGAUCAAUCAUUCAAUGUUAUCAAGUUAGAUGAUGAAGAGCACUUUGCCAAGUACCCUAUUGAUGAGACAUAGGCAGAACGCAGCACAAUACAUGAUCUGUUCCCUUCCCACGUCCAAAAUUCACAUAAAUGAAAGUUGAAAAUCAAGCAGGACUCUAUGAGAUUGCAUCAAAACUAGCAGUUUUCUUUUAAAAAUAUUUCAAUAAGUCUGGGUUACUAGCAAUAAUUCCAAGAGUCUAGGUUUCUGAGAGUUUGAACUAUGCAAUUGCAAAGCUGCCUCGCGUUGAAAUGCCUUCCUCCCAUUAUCUGCCUAAGAAAAAUCAAAACUUUUUCAAAAUUAAAAAAAAAUGUCAAAUUGACGUACUUCAUCUCCUAAUUCGCAAGCCCACAGACAGUAAGAAAUAAUAGUAAUCGUGUACUAAAAUAAACAGAUUCAAUUAUCUCAUGGUCUUCAACUUUUAUCAAAUCAAAUCAAAUCACGUAAAUUGAACUAACAUAGUACAGCACCGAGCAAUUAAUGAAUUUGUAGCAUAGAGUCCAGGGAAAUUUUAACUUUCAGAGGGUCAGAAAUUUAAAACAAAAAAAAAUCAGGUCUAGAGAGAGAAGCAAGGCUGAAGAGUAGUAGGAAUAUAGGUAUACCAAUGCCGCCGAUGAGGCAAGAUGCGGCAACGACGGGCUCUUGGACCACGAACAUUUUCAGCUUCUCCAUCACCGGCAUCUUCUUCUGCUGCUGCUUUCUCCUUUCUCCCUCUCUGUUUUCUUGCCUCUGGUCCUUCGGAACUCUUUCCGAUAUUGAUACGAGCCAGACGACAUCAGAGCUUAACUGUUGAUAGUUUGGCGAUGGUGGGCUGAUGUCACUCAAUCCACUAUUUCUUGGGCUGGCCCAAGAUGUUCCACUUCAUUGGCAAAUGCGGCCUUAAAAGGACUCGUGAAUUUAUUAUCCAUGUUGAUUUUUUUAAAUUUUUUUUCAAGUUGUGCUGAGUGAAACCACUCAUAUUCAAGUAAUUGAGCUUGAAUGAAAAUACAAUUUUACUAAUUUUUUACACACUGAUUUUUUACUAGUCAUGCUGCUUUUUUGUUCUGUGAUGCAUAUGAUACAAGGCAUAAGCAGCAUAUGUUGAAAAAUUACAAGAGACAAAUGUUUUGUACUGGCUGCGCUGCUCCCACCAUCAUUAACUAAGUUGAUGAAAAUUUUUUAUUGUUUUCUGAUCGUUAAAAUCGUACAACAUUUAAUUAUGAGUCCAUUUAGACGAUGCGUUCGUGGGUAUUUGUCUAAAAUUUUAUUGUAAUUAUUUUAGAAAAAAUGGGUUAAUGUUUGUCUAAAACUUUUUUGCAGAAAAGGGGGUGCCAAAGUAUUAGGAGUUAGGACAGCGCUUUCAUGCUGUGAGUGCUCAAGAUUUUAACACCCAUCAUCCACUUGCUAGAAUAACUGGAAUUAUAAUGCAAAACAUUCCCUAUAAUGGAAGGAGUAUCAGAGAAAACAUUUGCGAAUGAGGUCUCGUGCAAUGUGCAACUGCUCAAAGUACAACAACAAUGGCAAUAAAAUACCACAGCAUUUAAGGCUCCCUUCUACCUCUUUGUUUUUGCUCCUCCGUUCUCCAAUCUCUCUCCCUUUUUACUCUUUUGAUCCAUGUAAUCAUGGACUGUCCUUUUGUUCAGGAAACGAUCCAGCUUUCAUUUACUCGAGCAUUCCAGAGCAAUAAAGGACACAGAGUGAAGUAGAGACAUGCAGAUAUUAGGUCAGGCAAACGAGCGUUUCCGUGACACUUUCUUAUAGCCCAAAAAACUACUCUCAGGCUCAUUUCUGGCACAUAAUUGAGAAUUAAUCCGUCGAAAGAAGCAGACCUAAAGCAACACAAACAUGACAAGGCAGAAUAUGCUCAUCUAUACAUAUAUACACGGAACAUCCAUCAAUUCACGUGCACAAACUCUGCAAGAGUUCAUCAAAGCUAAAGAUGAGUACCCUAAAUACAUGGAUAGAUACAGCAGGAGGUGAAAUGUCAUGCAAUCAACCCUAGCGUAAACCAAUCAUCACAUUGACUCACCAAGAAGGAAAAAUUGGAUAUACCACACCACCCCGUAUACUCAAAAUGUCGGUAACAUCCACCCAACAGUCCAUCCCAAGAGUAAACCAGCACCAACAAGACUCAAUCCUAAUGCAAAAACUACUGCAUAUCUGCUUAUGUCACUUCUAGGACGUCCCCUCUUGGCCCUUUUUCCCCUGGCGGCUUUCUGCCAAUUCUUCCGCAAUUUUCUGGUCUUCUGAGGCACCCAGGGCAACAUGACAGGAAAAAGAGUUGAAAUUGGCUGGCCUUUGUUGUUUUUAAUCUGAUAGCAGAGAUUCUCUAGUUGCAUAAGUUGAAACCACUGCUUGUAAGCAAAUAGUUGAGAUGCCUGUUUGAAAACAAGCUUGACUACAUGCUCUUUCUCUGCAUAUGCUUGCUUUGCAGCCUUCUCAGCUUCCCUUGCACGUGUUUGAGAAUGGCGCAGAGCUUCCAGUAGUUGAGCCUUACUGGAAUCGCUAUCAGAUGCAAUGCUUCUAAGUAUAGCAUCUUGAUUUGAGCUAUCUCUGUUUCAGGAGAUGCAGUAUCAGCGACUAAUGUGGAAGGAGGACAACUAAAACAGAUACAUGCAUGAGUUUUUAGCUCUCCAAGCCAUCACUUUAACAAUGCACAUAUACAAAAAUGAUACAAUUUCUAACUUUUAAGAGCAAAGGGUCCUUUCAUUUAAUGGUCCCAGGAACCUUCAGUAGUUUCAUCAAUAACCUGCUACCAACAGACAAAGCGUGGCAUAUAUUUAAUGUGCCUAUUGUUUACGUCGACAAUUAGCACAAAAUGAGUUCUAAAUGAGCAUCGACAGAACCAAAAAAAAAAAAAGCACUGCAUCCUAGACUGCUCUACAAAAGACAUCAGCUUCUAAGAGCUAACGCUUUUUAGUCAGUUUCACGGUGAGAUGCACACACAUACCACAGGACUCCCAAGUCAUAUGAAACAACAAGCAAUAAGCACAAUCGUACAAUAGAUCAUUUGAAGCUUAUCUCCAUUAGCACCGUAAACAAAAUCUUACUACAUAUAAAACCCGAGAGGGGUUGUGGUGUUCACAUUUCUGUCAACUUAUUGGAUUAUCUUUUUUGUCUUAUUACAAAGGGUAAACAGUACAACCUUUUACCAACCAAAAAAAAAAAAAAUGUUUAUCAAGAACUACCAACCUAUACUUUACCCACAUCCAUGUUUCCAUUCCAAACAUGUAUGUUCACACUGCUCCAUCCAAAAUAUGUACAUCUAAUCAUUCACCAUACUUCUGCAGUACUCUUAACACUACCACAGAAACUACCGAACAAAAGGAAAUACCAUAUUUGUAACUUCCAAUAACUUCUUGUCAUCCUUUUACUUUCAUCUUCUCUUUUGUUUCUUUUUUCUCAAUCCAAUUAUCUAAAUCAUGCCUAUACCACUAGUUAGAAAUAAUUAUUCAUGGCCCAAAAUUGCAGUUUGAAGAAGUCAGAGCAGCUGUUCUCUACUUUUCUUCUUAUUCACCAUUUGUUGAUGGAAUUUGUGUCUACACGGGUAUCAGAUAUAUCAUGCCCACCAAUACCAUCAUCUUCUCAUAUGGCCCUCACAGCUAAGGUAAUGUAGUCCCCAAUCCUUGUUCAACACCAGCAAGUGAUCACACCCAGUACACUUAAGCAUCACAAAAUAAUUGAAUUAUGCUCAUGCUUAUUUAAAAUACUUAUAUAUGUUUUUUUCCACUCUGUCAACAGAUAGAAGCAUGCACACAGAAAAUAGAUGGAGAUAUAAAAGGUUGAGGGCCAAAUGUCAAUUGAAAAAGAACGUAAACAGGAAGGGUAAACAGAAAGCCAUACAUUGUUGAAGGCCCAAAAAAAAAAAAAAAGACUUCAAGUAAGCAUCAGCCUAUUUAAAUUUGCUGAAUUUUCACACAGUUUCCUUGCAUCUCAGCCUACCCUCAAGACUUGCAUGUAAUAUUGACAAGUUGGACUGCGUUGAUCUAUAUAAAACUUUAAACUAUGGCCAAGUUGGGGAUUGAAAAACUUCUCAAAUGGGCAAAGCAGUUUUAGCCCUCUUAAAACGAUUAUGCACAACUAAGAUUUCUUUAUAACCUUAGUUGACCAUGACAAAAAAUCAACUACUGCACAUCAGAGAAUCAGAAGAAACUGUAGGUAUUACCUUAAUGAUGUAAUAGUAGAACACUGCAAUUGCUCAUCAACUGACAACCGCUGUUUUUGACAAUCACUUUGCGAUGCAAUGCUACUCUGCUUAUGGACAAUUAAAUCAUGAUGACAUCCAGGAUGUUUUGGAUCUAUAGGAGAGAUACAAGCCCUAUCAUGAUCAAAACAGCAUAGAUCAACAAAAGCUUCCCUCUCAACACACGUGUUCUGAGGCUGGGGAAGAUCACAAUUUUCAAUAAGUCCAAAAGAUCCCCGUGAAACCAAUAAAGCCAGUUCAUCUUGGUCAGCUGUGCGCCACCAUGGCCCAAUUUUCUCAUCUCCAAUCCAAGGCGAUUCAGAAUCAGGAAACAGUUCAUUUUUUUUCUUGGAAACUGUACAACCAUAUGUACCUAUCUCUGCUCUUUCAUACAAAUCCCCUACAUCCUCAAGCUUAGGAGAACAUUGGGGAUUCAGCUUAUUCAUAGGUGUCAAGUCCUUGUCUCCGACUUCAGUAUCCUUCUUUAGACCAGUGCUAAGGAUUCUUAAAUCAGAAUCAACAAAAGAUUCAGUCUCUAUCGAGUCAUAAAACAAUGCACUGCCAUCCUCACUUUCUGGCAUUUUAAGGGCUGAGCUUGUACGACCAUGGAAAGUUUCCAUUUCUGAAUCUGUGCAGUUUAAUUGUUCAUCUGUUAAACCCCUUUGAUGCCUAUAAUUUGAUGGAAGCUGCAGCCACCAUUUUGAGUUUGGCGACAAAUUAGAAAAUGAAGUGCUCCGAUUGAAAGGGGGGAAAGCUACACUGGAAAUGUCCUGUGCCUCAGCAGCAUUUGCAGGUCCCACUUCAACCUCUCUGACAAAGGGUGACGCUAGUGGGCAGUAAGCUAAUUUAGGAGCUCGCUUAGCAUCUUCUUGGACCAAGCAGCGAUUAACCGUUCUCUGCCAAGCAGCCCUUGCUUCUGCAACUGCCAUCACUCCCCCAUUCCUCAGUGCAUAUUACCACCUAAAAUAAUACUCUCUCAGAAAAAUGUUAUGCUCUAAGAUAACAAGCUAAAUUGUCAUAAUUAAUGAUUCUUCCACUAAGUGUGUAAUGUACACCCAUGAAACAAAAGCAAGUCUUAUGAUAUUUAUGUGCAUAGAAGAAACCACUAGUAUGUAGAAUAAAUAAAACACAAAAUCAACGUAAUUCAGCACUGAUCUAAACAAUCAUAAAUUAAUUCCUUUCCCUGAUCUCAAACUUAACAGAAAUUUCUAAAUAAGUACAGAUGUAAACCCACCAAACAGCAUUGACAAAUACAGUUACCAACGUUUUCACAUCAUUUGCAAAAGAAGUCUUUGCAGCAUUCAACAACUAAAUUUGAUUGCUCUUCAUCUAAACUUCUUUCUAAUAUUCAUGCCCAACUUCUUAACCAAGAAAGUCAUUACCAAAGAACAAAUUCCACAGAAAUUAUGUCAACAAACCCUCUUAGCAAUAGAGAAGAAAAAUUAAAGCCAAUAUGCAAAAUGAGAAACAGAAAUAAAGUAGUGGAUUAUGCCCUCCAGAUCACCUCAUUAAGGAUACGACAUAAAGAGUGAAUAUUUGUUCUUCCUCCAGGAUUUGAAGGAGGUCAAAAACAUCCACCAUGACAUUUGGAUUAACGAAACCAAAACUGCAGAUCCAAUUAUGACAUCCCUUAUCCCCAAAGGUUUUAACUUUACCCAAGCAACUCUAAUAUGUUGCAAGUCUCAAAAAGCACUUAAAAAGAUUUUACCUUUAUUUUUUUUCCGGUAAGAACUUGAAAAGCUAGUGCACAGAAUGCUAUUAAAGCAACUUCCUAGUCUAUGAAGUUAGCAUCAAAACUACAAACUGAGGUAGAAAACCACAAGCCAAACAGUUUGAAGAACCAUCCAGCAAACAAAACAUGAGAAUCCUUAGAAAAAGGCUGAAAUAGAUGGCCCAAGUGUCCUUUUGUCAGUUCUGCAAGUUAAUCAAAUCUGCGAGAAAUUACAGUUGGAUUAUUUAAAUCUGUAGAGGAAAGCAUACAUGGAGGUGCAUUACUUGUUCAGACAAAAACUUAAAACAAUUGCAAGACCAGUAGAUUUAAACAACCAAUUCAAAGAUAAAUCAUCACCAAAAGCUAACAACACAAGGGGAAAGAAGAAAGGUAAUAUCUUGCAAGUACAACUAGCCUCACCUUUACCCACCAAAGGGAAAAAAAAUUAUGAACCAAUUUAGAAACCAAAACUGAUACUACAAUCAAUAAACCAGAUAACCUCAAGAACCACAUAACAUCAUCAGCCCAAGGAAUCUAACAGCAAAUCCCCAAAACCCAAAAAAGAUGUCAAAAGAAUUUAACAACUGUAAUCAGACAAACUUUUAUUGGUAAACAGAAAGGGACAAAAAAAAUUAUUACAUAUGUAGCAUGUAUGUAUGUAUGUGUGCAUGUGUCACAUAGGCAGGCAGAGAGUGAUGUACGUAUAUACAUGUAGGGGGGAAUAUAAAUAUGGAAAGAAAAAGAGACCUGAGCGAGAGAGAUGAAAGAGCGGAAAUGAUUGAAUCAAAAGUUAAAGAGGAGGAAAAAAAAUGGGGGAAGUGGGUUUGGAUCUCAAUUGAUAAUGGAGCAGCAGUUAUCUUUGUUUCCAGUCCAAAAGACAAGCAACGAUAUUUCCCUCUCCUCUAUCUUCUCGCUGUCAGAGAGUAAGAGGGAAAGUGAGUGAGGGAGGACCUCUUUUUCAGUUUUUUGUUUUUCAGUUAUCGGUUUUUUUUUUUUGUUUGUUCAAAAAAUUUUGUUUAAUUUGCACAGUCCCCCUUUGUUCUUCUUCCAUUGGGCUUAAAACGAUGACUUGUCCCUCGUUUUGGUUCCUCAUCCAUAUCUAUCUAUGUGACAUUGUAUGUUGUUUGCCAAGGAGGACAUCUCUAAUCUGGAUAUAUCUUUUGGAGAAAAGGGGAGAAGUUAAAUUCAUCGUAUUGGGUUUUUUUUUUUUUGCUUUAAAUAAGUUUCUAAUGGAAAUUUGUGGGGUCCAAGUGGUAAUUACCAGAGACUAGUAAAAGGAAAGGAAAAACGAUUAGGAUUAGGACUAGGAAGAAGAAGGUAAGCAAUAAUUCAAUGUUUUGAGAACCGAACCGGGUAUCGACUCGGUCAACUUCAGGGUUCAAGGGUUAAUGAAUUCAAUCGAGUUUGAUAGGGAUUGAACCGGAUCACGUCUUAAAUAAAAAUUAUUUAAAAAUUAAAAUAUUAUAUGUAAAAUACCUAAUAACAUGUAAAUAUUAAUAAAUGUAUAUUCAUAUAUAUUUGAUGUUUUAAAUAUAUUUAACAAGAAAAUACAAAAAACUUAGAACAAUAAAGUAACAAUUUAUAUUAUUUAAUGAGUAUUAACAAGUUUAGAAUUAAAAUUAUUGACUUAAUUGAAAAAUAAUAUCAAACUUUAAGAAAAUAUUGAUAAAGUAUGAAAUAUUUGAGGUAUAUUAAUAAUUUUUAACAAUCUAGGGAUCAAAACAUAAUAUUGAAAAAUUUUGAAUUUUUUUUUAAAAUGCUGUUUGAACCGAAAAAACCGGUUUUUUUCGAUCCAACCCAAUUUUUGACCGAAUUUUUACUUAUCCAGUUUUUAAGCAUGACUUGGACUGGAUACUUGACCAGUGCUCGGUUCGACCGGCCGGUCCGGUCCGAAUUUUAAAACACAGGCAAUAUGUGUCCAUCAAUCCAUCCAUCAGUGAAUGCCGCAGCUGUUUGCUUGGGAUGGGGCCUGAUUUUCAAUUUUCAAUCGUGGGCUGAGUCCUCAAUAGUAAUUAAGCGGUCCUUCGCUAGUCGCAUAAUUUCAUACCCUCUCCCUUCCCUUUUCUGAUGCUUUUACUACUAAUUUCUUCUCGGAUCACAACUUUCAACUCCUCAUGCUGCAUUUUCUGAGAAGCAAAAGCAUUUUAAUAUUCCCUUUAUCCUCUGGUUUUAAUCAAUCUGGAUUACACUUAUCUUAUGCGUAAUAACCCCAUAUACAUAUAUCUAUAUAUAUUGCUUGCAUCAAACGCAAACAUACCACCAGUGCAAUGCAAUUGCGUUAAUGAAGAAGCUUACUUUAGCCGUCAAAAGAUGGACUCAGAUAGGAACUAGUAGGAAGUCGAAGUCAACAAUUUUUAUUAAUGAGCCACAAUUGGAUCAAAUCAAAGCUAGAUGCAAAUGUAUAUUUUUGAUCGAUGAGGAGGAGGACGUACACCGUAGGCAUGCACUUUUAAGAAAAUUGAUAAGCAAAAAAAGAGUCCUGUGACAGUGAUUAGUUGCGGGUUGAUGUGAAAAUUAUCGGUUUAUCCGUCUUUGACAUUAUCCGUUUUGGAUGGGAGGUGUCGCUGUCGCUGUCGCUGUCGCUAAUGAGUUUGUUCAAUUUGUCUAAUAUUCUCUGGAGAAUGAUAAAAUUGUCAGAAAAAAAGGUCGGCAAUACCGACCAAAGAAAGGAGAGUGGGUUAAAAGGAUAAGGAAGAGGAUUAGGGAAGAAAACUGGGAGCAGGAGAGAACACUAAACAGUGGGAGCCCAUGGUAAAAAUAGGACCAAAUUGGGAUCGAGCCUCUUAAGUAGUUGAGCUUCUGUCCAGCUCCCUUCAUCGUUUAAACCGGUACAAUUUGAAUGUAAAUUAACAUGUCUUUAAUAUAAUGAAUUUUAUUUAUUUAUUUAUUUUUUGAUCAUCACAGAAAGUAUUCCUUUCGGAUUAAUUUUUUCCGCACUUGUCCACCCGCUUUUCAAGAUACAUAAGACGAUAGAAGAAAUCAAACUACAACCACACGAUACCAGAACCUAACGAGGCAACCCCAACACCAGCCGAGCCGAUCUCAGGGGCUAAUAUAAUGAAUUUUAUACCAAUUCAAUUAUCAAUUAUGUUCGCAUCAAAAUCGUGUCAAAUUAGGUGGGGCGCAUUUCCCACGAAAUUGACGGCUACGUGGAAGAAGGCCGCAACAAUUAAAGCUUCUUCGGCUCUGGACUGCUUUGUACGUGUCACUUCCAAGCUGAACUCAGCUGACAAGAUGACCUCCUUCGCCAAAGUUCGGCACAAUAUAUAAAUAUUGCAGCCACUGGCCAUUUGGUCCAGUGGUCAUCACCAUUAAAGGUGAUGCUGGAGGUCAGGGGUUCAAUCCCUGUCUCCCACAAAUUUGUCACUAUUUAUGCCGGUCUUAAUUGACCUUUAUCGAUGGAGUCUGUACUCACAUCGAACCCCCUUCUCUUCCCCUUAGAUUAGGCUAGAUUAGGUUAUAUGACAUCUAUCGUUGCGAUAAAAAAAAUAUAUAUAUAAAUAUUGCAGAGUAGAACCUUUUUUGGCUGGCUAAUAAAAUGAUACUCCUCCUGAGAGGAAGGUGGACCAUCAUCAGAUGAAAAAAUAUAAAAAUUUGUUGAUGAAAAAUUGCAAUUCAAAUAAGGCCUAAAAGUUCUUUAAUUUUCGGAUUAGACUUUGAGGGACGAGCGUGGAUUUCUUUGACGUGUAGUGUUUGGCCUUUUAUCAAGUUAAUGUGCAUUUUCUCCCACUCGUUUUUCCGCUACUACCCCAAAUCCUGAAUUCUGAAUGACAUACAGACACCUCAUACAUGAUACACUCAGGAUGGAAUACAUCAGCUUACUGUAUUGUGGGUUCUCCGAGCGAACAAAAAUUCUAGCAGUAAAAAAGAAUUGUCAAUUUUAAAUAAAAUAAUAUCAGAUUACAAUUAUAUUUUGACUCAUGUUCUACUUUCCCAUCUGGAGAGUAAGCCCCAGUUGGCCACCACCGCCGUUUCCGGAUUAUGCCAUGCAUUUUGUACUCAACUGUGUGUGCACUAGUAAACAUGACUUUUACCGAAAAAAAAAAAGACCAAUAUAACUACCCCAGAGUCAAAGGUGCCUCAGAAGGUAAAGACACUGCCAACUCCCUCCGGUGCUGUAAUCGCAAGAAAACACCUAAACAAUAUUGAAAGGAAAACCAAGCACUGAGCUUCAACUCAAGUGGCCACCAAAUAUGUACUGAAUCCCUUUAUAAAUUGUAGGUCGAGAGUUCAAACCUUAUCUGAAUUCAAAAGAAGCGUCAGAACACCUCUUUGAUCUAGUUAAAUUUUUAUACCUAUUAACCUCUUAUACAAAAUCUCUUUAAACUCCCCUCCAUAUAAAUUAAAAUAAAUUAGAUUAUAAAAAUCCCCUUAGACACAGUCUCCCCUCCCUAUAGAUUAGGAUAGAUUAGGUUAUUAAAAUCCCCUUCUACACAGUCUCUUUAGACUCCCUCCGUGUAAAUUAGGAUAAAUUAGAUUAUCGAAAUAUUAUCGUUACUAUAAUAUAUACAUAUAUAUAUAUAUAUAUAUAUAUAUAUUGAAAGGGAAACAACGGAAGGAUGACCACAGAGCCCUUGUAUUGCACUCUUUACAGAAUUACAUCAGUCUAGGUUCUAGCCCAUACACAAGUAAUACAUCUACAAAAUUUGAAGCGGUUGCUCAACGUACAGGUAUCUCUGUACAUGCAACUAUACAUUACAUAUCUAACAAGAGGAAAUCACCAUUUAGUACUAUUUAGGCUAUAUACCACAUGAAACAAAAAACGCAUGUACAUGGGCUCAAACCCCAAGGCCAAUUUCAUGGACUGAUGACUUCAACAGAUGAAACUGAUGAAGGGCUACCUGAUACGAAUAUACAUAUCAUUUUUGGAGCAAGAAGGAACUCCACUUCAGAGGUGCCCAACAAGGGUAUUCGUCUUAGUUCUAAAACAGACGUUCAAUACUGCAACAUUUCUUCAACAGCAAAGACUAUCUUGUCAAAACUUUAUUUUACAAUUCCUCCAGGGGAACCAUGUUACCUUUUCAGAAGUGAGAAAAAUCUUUCAGCUUAAUCAACUUUACGGUACCAUCUCCACCACAUGUAAGGAAACCAUGAGAAACAACUUGAAUAUCAGUAACAGCCGCCUGCAAAACAGGAUCAAAUGUCGCUUCACUUUAUGAUCACAACUUGCAAGUCACUAGAUUGACUUCCAGAAGAAAAGCUUAGACCAUGUUAAAGAAUUACCCGAAAAACUCCUCCAAAACCACGAGAGCUUGGUUGCAGAAAAGUGUGCCUUUCAUGCAAUCUUGGCCAAUGAAAUACUAAUCUGGCCCUCUUGGCAUCCCAGAGUUUUACAUCUCCAUCCUUACUUCCCGUCAGGAAAUAACUUGUAUUUGGGAUGGUAGAUAUUUUGGUCACGCUCGCUUUACAAGAGAAUCCAAGUCAGAAGAUGAUAUAACAUUCACUGGGAGAAAUUAUACAAACAUCUACAGUACCUGCAUGUGCCUUUGGUAUAUACCAGAGCAUCCCAUUUCUGUUCUGGUCUCCAGUUUUGUUGUGCAUGUCUUCAGUGGAAGACAGAUUGACAUUUUGCUCAAUGUUGUCUGUAUGCUUGUGCUUCUUUGUCCUUCCAGUAGCUAUGUAGCGGAAGUCAUGCAGUCCAACAUCACCAGCUUUUCCACCCGUGACAAUAAGGGGAGAAACAGAACCACUUCCAAGAUUAUGAUCAAAGACAGAAAGGGAGCGUGCACCACCUAAAAUCGCACAAUUUCCAUCCUUUUUUUAGCAUGCAAGUCAUCAUCAACUUUAAAUAUUAAGCAUAAAUCGCUAUAGGAGAAUGAAAUUAAGUUUUUCUAAUGCAUGUCAAAAUAUGCAAAUUGAGAGUAGAUAUUCGGCAGAAGAAAAAGUCACACAGAGCAGACAGAAAGCUGAGAGAUACUGAUUUCUAUUUUACCAGAAGGUGAGCUCCUUUUGUUAUUGUCUUCCAUUUUAUGGUUUCUUGUUUUAAAAUACAUCGAAUUCCUUUCUACCACUUUGAUUUCCUUAACGAAUGCAUUUAGCUCUCAAGCAUGCAUCUACUGCCCAUAGCAAUGCUUGAUGGAACAACUGUUGAUAGCGAGCAGGAUGCACAAAUUACCAUCAGUAAGAGUAAAAAACUCUGCAGAAGGGCAGGAAGCAUUCAGUACAACUAACAUUCAGAUAGCCUACCAUACAAGCACUAGCAUGCCUUACAAAUCCGCCAGGAUACAGAAUAUGAACUUAGAAAUUAUCAAGGGCUCUCCGAAUUCCCUUUCAAGCUUUCUCGAGUCACCCUAAUGUAAUGGAUAAGUGAACUUCGCUUACUUCUUACUGAAUAUUCACUAAGAGUUAAUUGGAUGUUUUUGCAAUCAACAAGGGUCCUCUUUCACACUAAAGUAUCAACUUAUCCAUGGCAAAUGAAAGAGGAAAGAUGUACAAAGACUUCAUGCACUCCACCAACUGAAUGGCUUUUGGGGUACUGAUAGUCAGUUUUCCCUCUAAUUCAAUCAUGGAAGCAUACUGAACCACAUAUAUCCUCAACUGACCUUCGUCUCAGUUUAAUGAUAGUAAAAGGACCUCUUCUCUUGCUCCUAGAACUACAGCCAACCUCCCCUUAAUUUCUGCAGCAUAUAAUACAAAUCUUCUCCAGAAAGACAUUCUUGUUACGCUCAUAAUCCUUCAAGAGGAGUAUUAUAAUUUGCGCAUGCUUUUAUGAAUGGGGCCAACACAUUAAGAUUUAAAAAUUAAAAAAAAAACACUUCAAAAAUGAUUUUUUCCAACUAAAUUAAAAAUUCAAUAGGUAAAAAACCUUCAUGACACAUUAUAGAAGCCCGUGAAGUAGCUGUCGGAGCAAGUGUAUCCCAAAUAACCACAUUGAUGCCAGUAGAGCUAUACCCAGCUGCCGCAAUGAUUGACCCACUAGGAGUAACAUAAGUGACAUCCCUGCAAAGAUAGAUGGUAAGUGUUUACCAAAUGUCUACAUGAAAAGAAUCACAGAUAUGAAUUGCAUUUCCAGGGUAGAUCUCAAAUCUAAAACUACCUGGCAUGAGGCAAAGGAAGUGCACACAACUUGUUGACACUAUGCUUUGAAACAAAUGAAAAGAAAAGAAAAAGAAGAAGAAUAGAGAGAUUCAGUCCUCCAUGUUUUUCAUUGAUGGUGGAAAAACAAUAGAUAGAUUAUAUUAUCCAAAGUUGAGCUUCUUUUGCACAUACUUGGGAAGAAAUGAAAGAAAAGGGAAGGCCAUCUUAUAAACCUACUAGAAAUACUUCGAAAUCAACUUCACUUUUUACUUUCUUUCCUUCUGCAUUCAGCUUCCAGAUGCUAUAUUAACAUUUUAAUUUUUUAAUUUCCAUUAUCAAGGAAACAUCAUGACAAGAUAGAUUUUCUUUUCUUUCUCUUCCCUUCAGUUUCCUACAGGCAGUGUCCCAUACUUUUCUUUUCCAAAUAUCGACAUAUUUAUGUUUUUUAUUCAUUUGGUUUUGAAAACUUAAUCUUCAUACUUUUCAAAGUUAUUGCAUGAACCAGGCAUUAUUUUCAGGAAGCAAGACCAACCUUUGAUAUCAUCAACGAUCUGCAACUCAUCAUGAUAAACUAUGACAAUCUCAUGUUCCUAUGAGAGGUAACUACUGCCUAAAAAGAUUCUGACUCAAGGAAGGAUAUAGAACUCUGCUACUUACAUAGAAUAAAUGAAAAAAAAAAACAACUGAUUUUUCUUAACAAACAUCCACUUAGCGUGCUUACGAUGUAUGAUUGUCAAAGCAGAUAGAGGAUUCUGUUGGACCAACAUUGCUCCUUCCUCCAACUUCUAGCUGCCAUGUGCAAACAGUUCCAUCUUGUGCAGCAGUCACAAAUCUGUGUCCACAGUGGUCAAACCUUACAGCAGAGAUGGAUGCAAGGGCAUACGGCGGAGGAACAUUUGCAGCAGGAAGCACCCCAUAUGUAGCAGUUGCUCUGUCCUUACCAAACUGAUCAUCACAAUUUAUACAACCUUUUACAAAUUAUGCAGAAGGGGAAAAGAAAAACAAAUUUCCAAAAGAUGAAUAAAAAAUGAAAACUUCUAAUAUCUAGGACGUUAAGCACAUAUAAGAAAAAUGUGCUAUUUCCAAAUCUCUAAUCCUUGGAUAUGAAGCAAUAGAGUAUUAACUAGUGCAAAUUAGUUCAAUAAGGGCCUAUUCUCGACUAAUGCAGGAAUUGGUCACCUGAAAGUCCACUGACAAACCUUUAACAGAUCCUGAUGAUCAUGGGCUUUUUAAUUGUGUAAUUCUCUGAAGAUCCUGAGCAAAAUUUUGAUAGGAUAGAUACAAAAAGGCUCAACAUAAUGAAGGUAUAUAAAAGAUCUGUUGUAUGAAUAAAGGAGCUUGGACAAGUAUCACUCAUUGACAAGUCCAGACAUGGAAGAUGAAGGAAUCAUAUAAGCCAAUUCUUGCUUACUUUCUAAGUCAGGUAGAGGACAGGAUUGUACACCCUACACUCAGCACUGCAACAACUAUCCUCCUAGACCAAAAAUAUACUUAAAACAUUUUACAGGAACUGGAGGCCAUUUAACAUUAGAGCAAUAUAUGGCUUGUGGUGCCUACUCUUCACCAAUUGAUAUGAUGGUAACGCAAACCUAAAAGUAAGAUAAAGCAAGCCAGAUUAUUCAUAGACACCAACUCUUGGUAGAAGACAUUUACCUCCCAUAAAUAUACAUGUGUGUUGCUGGAACCAACCAGGAAGAGUGGCCUUGAAGGAUGAGUUGAGAAUGAACUGGCAUUCACACUUCCAACAGUAGGAAUUGGAUCAACGAAUUGUUCAAAAUCUGCCUGAACCCCCCAUCCAAGGCUGGAUCCAACCAUGCCAGAAUAACCCGGAAGUCCAAAUGCUCCACCAUCCUUUAGCUCUUUACCUGACUCUGCAAAAAGGCCAGCACCAACAGUUGCGCCGCCUAACCCAAGGCGAGCUCCCUUUCUGCUUCCAAGACCAACUCCAGGAUAAACACAUGUUGGGACAGGAGUAGACUCAGAUCCGGCCCACCCAUUGUGGGGCCAGUCAGCAUCUGCCCAGACAUAUUUAGAUUCAUCUCCACAAGGUAGCCCAUCUUCCAAGUUGAAGCAUAUUAUCCCCUAAAUUUAAAGAUAGGCAUUUCUUAUACCACAAAAGAAUAAAGUAAAUGAAGAUUUGGACAGAUUAAACACUCAGAUUAAGAAAUAACAGUUCAGAAUUGCAAGUAAAAGCAAAUCUACUUACUAAAAAGCAGCAGCACUGAAAAACUUAAUUACCAGCUAUUAUCUCAUGGCAGAUUAUGUUCUAAAUUCUGAGGACAUUCCCCUCUCACUUGUAUUUAUGUCUAAACGAAAUAAAAAACAGCCAAUUCAUUCAAUUACAACACUGGGAGACACUUCUUUACGGAGUAACAAACCUGUGCAUCUGUACAAGCAGAGGUUCAAAGUACUAACUUUUCCCGGAGUCACUAUGUGGCUUCAUUGACGGUCAAUUAUCUUAUCAGUUUUUGACCAAACCUUAGAUACUAACGCACUACUUCCGUAAAAUCCCCAAAAAAACCCUUGAGCUUUCUCAUGAAGAAAACUCAUAUUCAAAUUAAAGAAAGAAGACUAGUAGAUAUAGAUCAAGAAAGGGCCAACAACCCCCUAGUCCAUGUUCAAACAAAAGGGCCUACCUGAAUAACAUAGUUGAGAAAACUUCAAGAAUUAUCCAGAAAGCAUUUAAAAUCGUCUAAAAGCAUUUAACGCAUUCUUAAAAUCAGUAACAUUUGGGAGUGUAAUAUAGGCUGAACAUAAUACGAAUUAGACGGUAUAACACAACAGAAAACAAGUAACCCGCUGCUGUAUUCCAGCAUAUCACAUGAUCAAGAUCUGAAAUUCAAUCCAUCAUUUUAGACUACUCAUGAAACAUUUCGCAUAGUUACAUGAAUCGUUAAUGUUGGAGCUUAGGCACUAUAAUAAUUCCAACCGUCAUCAAGAUGUUCAUGAAGAUUUUGUGCUUUUUAGCUUCCAAGCCAAGUGUGGCAAGUCCAAAAUGAACUAUUGAAAUAGCAAGAUAGAACAAGCUUUUCUACGAAGUGAGCCUGCCCAAAGGCUUGGUUCACUUGUAUAUACUAGGCACCACAAAAAGAUUCUGAAUAUCUCAAUAAUGCAACUCUGGUGAGUAUUGAUGCCAAACAAUCUCUUCUUCAAGCUAUAAAUGGUCUCUUUGCACAGAUGGUCCACGACCCCAGAAAUCAAGGAUACUUCAGACAGCUUAUUUACCAGCCCCCCCCUACAACACAGUUUUUCCUUGCAUGAUGUCUUCUGAUUAAUUAGCAGCUGCCACGUUAAAGGGCAUGAUAUUUUUCCCAAAGAUAGGUCUUUCUGUCUGUUGUAUUUCACAGAUUGGAAAUGUUUAUUUUGUUAAAAAUUAGAAAAGCUCUCUUUGAGGAGUUCAAAUUAUAAUCAUUUUGAAAGCUGCAUCUCUAAUUAAAUACAAUAUAGCUCACACUUUUGCAAGUGCAAACCAAAACUUGGGCAAAACAUCUGGGGAGGUAAUAAAAGAAAUAACAAAUUAUAAUAAGAUUCUCAGAAUAUGUCAGCAUAAAAAAAGGUAAAGCAGCUUGUAGAGGGUCUGUGGUACCUUCCUAUUGGUGGCAAGAGCAGCUUGACGCUGAUCAAUGGAGUUGAUGCACAAAGCCUGCCCAACAUAGGAGAUUAGACAUCAUUCAGUUCAGUAACAGUCUUUCAGGGAUGGUCAACAAAAUUUCUGGUUAUGAAUCAUAUACUUUGUGACGUAAAAGACAAAGGGCGAGGGAAAAAAAGGCACAAACCUCCAAAAGUUCUCCACUUCUCUUAUAUAUUUCUGCAGGAGUAUUAAAAGGAACAACUUUCUCUGUGUCUUUUCCCCCAGAAGCAAUGAAGGGAUGCUCAUUUGGGGUCAGACAUGCAACAGGUGAUCCAGCAGCUUUACAAGGACUUCCAAGUCUAUCAUCUUCUCGAUCAAUUUCCCCACCCUCGUAUUCCCUCAGAAUACUUACAUACACAUCAACCCAGCCUCUGGAAGACUUCUUUUUAAUGCACUCAAACCACUUCAAAUUUUCUCUCACAAAACCAGGAAAUAUUUUCGGAUCAGCACAGAUAUGCCAGAAAAUCUCAUGUGGUGAUAAAUCAGCUUCAUUCUCCCACAUAUCUACAGUGUCAACUCUUUGACUAAAGUACUUGGAUUGGGAAAAAGAUUCAGAAUAAUCUUUUUCUGUGCUUAAAAGUAUGGUUGUAAUUCUUGUAUCUCCUUUCAGCAGCAAGUAUGAAGCUAAUUGUUUUGCACAAUAAAAAGAAAUAUGUGAACAUGUUACAUCCAAUAGCUUGGAAAAUGGUAAAACAGCAGUUGGUAAUUGUACAUCUUUCCCAUCAGCUCCAACUACAGAUAAAGUUGGCACUGUCGGGAGGGGGAACCCCCUUGGAGAUUGAACAGAAGAGCUUUCUUCAAGUACUUCGAUGAGCAAAUCAAGCAGAUGCUUAAGAAAACUAGAAAUUUGGCCCCAAAAAGACACGACAAUAACUAGCCAUCUAUCAUCUUCAGGUAUCUUUACUAAGAUAUCUCCAGCUUGUUCAUGUUGCAUCUCUUCGUUGAUUUCAAAAGCUCCGAUAUCAUUCAAUGGUAACUCAUCAGCCAAAAUCUUUCUAAUCUCAGAAAGAAUUUUGUUUACGUCCUUUAAGAUCUCCUGAGGAGUAUCUUCUUGACUAAAUCUCUUUAAAAUAGGCUUCGAGAUCAGAGCAAGAUGACUCAAGUUCAUUUGGCUCCAGGAAGAUGCAAAAUAGACAUAGUAUUCAGCUAAGUCAAUAACUGUCAAAGGCAUAUGCAGGAUAUCUUCAGUUGAUGAGCCAAAAAACAACUUCAGUGUGGCUCUAAUGCACUGUAAUGACCGUAUGAGAUUCCAUUGAUAAAACUCCAAAGCUACCAACAAGUGAGAACAAGUUUCAGUAGCAAUUCCACUCUUGGUGGAAGACACUUUCAAAUGAGAGCAACUUAAGCUACUGGAAACAAUAAAUCUUGAUACUGUCAAGACUUCUUCAGUCAUCCUAAAAAGUAGCUUGUGCGGGUGAGAAAGGAAAGCAUCAAAUCUACAUGAUUGUUCUGGUGAUAGGAAUCUGGAGCCACACACACGAAAUAUGUGGUAUCCAAUAUAUUGAAGGCCAUUGUUAUGCAAGAAUAAUACGAUCUGUAAAAGAAGAUCAGAAGAAAAACAUAAUUAGUAAGCUCAUACAGAACAAGUGAAGAAGUCAGCAGAGAAUAUGAUUUUAUCAUCGGCAACUAGAUACCUUGUCAAUGAGAUGGAAAGGAUUCAAGGAGAACUUCUGCUGGAAAUAUUCCAAUGUCACCGUUAAUUUUCCAUAAAAAUUUUCAACAGAUCUCUUGUAUUCUUCAUAAGCAGACUCCAUAUAAUUACAUCCACCAAACGGUACCAUAAUAUCCCCCCAGCUUGGAUGUUCCUUUAACAAUUGUGACAGGUACUGCAUAGCCAAAUCUGAUUUAGCAAGUAAUUCUUUCUGCUUAGCCAGAUCAAAAAAUGUCCAGUUUGAGGAAUCUCCAACUGGGGAUAGCUCCAGAACUUGAUUCAGAAGCUCAACAUCACCGUUCUCUAACACAGUUCCUUGAUUUUGCGCACCUAAAGCAUUGCGACAUGAUGAAAGGCACUCCAACGCUUCAAGCUUCAAAUGAUAACAAAAUUGGUCACCAGAAUUAAACAUAUGGAAACCCAUAUUGUACAUAAACAAAAAUACACAUACAACAACAACACUGUUGCAGUUCUUCAUUCAUCUAACCUCCACGAUACAAUAAAUUAGCUAAAGAACAACUAUUCCCAGCAGCUUUCUAGCACCCACAAACAAUAAUAUCAGGUAGAAGAGGUGGCUUGCUCUUUUAUUUUACCCCAUUUUUGUGUUGUGAUUCGGGGGGUGUAUUCUUAGUAUUUUAUGAGUGCACAACUUAAAUCAGGGGUAUGGUCUCAACAAUAUGGUGCACUAGAACUAUGAACCUGAGUCAUUACAGUCAGGUCAUACUAACAGAGUAGGUGAUAGAGGUAGUACCAACAAAAUGCUUGUGAUAGUUAGAUGCUCACCAGUAUGAACUAUUUCUGAUUGGAAGGGACAGGAAGCUUGUAACAACAACAGUGAUCCAGAUUAGAUAUUAAAGGGCCAUUUGAUUAGUAAACAAUGAAUAGUGAAUAAUCACACCAAGAGGUUUAAACAUCUUGCUCUCAGGAUUCAGAAGCAUCAAGUUACUCAACUAGCAUCCACUCCAGGCACUAUAAGUUGAAACUGAAUGUGGAAACAAGGAACAUAGAUACUCAGCUUCAAAAUGGUCAGCGAAAGCACUGGGAAAUGAUGAGACUUGUUCUAAAGGGGACAAAAUUUUCCUAAGCUAUACAGUUAUUGCAGUAACAUUCCCACGCAAAAAAGUUUCCAGGUGACACCAGCAGGUCUAAAUGUGAAAGCAUAAUUUAACACACAAGGAUUACUUACAGGCAACCCGCAUCUGCUUAAUGCAAUAGCACUUAUCAAUACUGCCCACCGACUGAGAACUGCCGCUUUUUGCUCCCCAAUGGCGUUCUUCAUGUUUGUCUUGUUUGCCAACAUCAGGCAGUACUGACCAAUACUUGGGUCCAGAAGAGACUUCUUACUAGUUGAGACAGCUGACUCCUUGUUUAUUAAACUUGUCUGGUCACCAAACAUUGAAAGAUAUGCUUUUGUAUAAUUUCCUAAUAUCCACUGCCAACAAUAGAGAAAAUGGAAAUGAGGCUCCAGUAAUAAUAACACCAUUAGAACCCAUCAAUAUGGAUGAACUAGUACCUCAAAAAGACUUGCGAGCCAGUAAUCACCUCUUGAAACUGCAGAUGGGAGGAUGAUUUUUGAAAUAAGUUGAUGCUCUAAUGGUCCACCAUACCCCUCAACAAGACGACAAAUUACCAAAGCAAGUUGUUCAUCCCCAAGGUUUUUUGCACAGACAUUCACUGCUGAAUAUGUAUCCCCUCCAAGCAAAAAAAAAGCAAUAGCAAGCUCCAGCUGAUGUUUUCCCAUUAAAACAUAAGCAUUUUUCAAAGCAGCUGCCCUAUUCUUUUCAUCCUAUAACAGUGAGUUGGUGCAGAUAAGAGUUUAAAAAUAGUAAAAGAAGAAAAAGUAACUAACUAGCAGGGUUUAAGUAACUUAACAAAACGCGACAAAGUUUACUUCAUAAGUGGCUAUUUAGGUGGAAUAUAAGAAUUUCAAGUUCUGCAAAGACAAUGAAAACCCCUAGUGUUAUCGACAGCCCGUGAGAUACUCCACAAAGUUUGAAGUAUUCUAACUUCCAUGGUUAAAAUGUAUCACUUUUUCCAUGAUUGCCUAAGUAGGUUGAGGAGAGAAAAAACUGAGUCAAGAUAAUUUAGUAAUGAUCCAAACAGAAUGGUGGAGAAAAGCCACUCAUCACAAUGGAAGUUGCAAAAGCAAGAGGUGUGCAUGAACUAGUCCAUUUGCAAAUGGCUGACCCCCUGGCUGGUUGAACCAGCUCAACAAAAUAGCUAAGUUUACUAAUUCUCUUGCACUACUUACAGUUGAGGAGGAUAAGGUAUAAAGGGUAACCAAACCCCAUAACUAUGAUCAACCUUCGCCCAAAAACACAAACAACAAGAAAUGUUAUUGUAUAUUGAAAAAAUAUUCACAAAUCGAAUAUUCCAACAGGCAUUUCCAAAAUAAGGAAAAAUAGUUUUUUUUUGGUAAGUAAGAAUAUAUUAAGGAGAAAACAGUAUUUACUACUGAUGAAACAGAUCUCGUUUUACCAUCAAUUCUACUUGCAUAUAAUAAAAUUUGAAAAAUAACUUCAUCCCCAACUACAUCGCAGAUAAUGGAAAUUUAAUAUGACAAAAGCAUUUUCUUGUUUCCACCUUUUCUAGUUCUUAAAAACCAUCAACAAUUAAUCUCCAAUAUAGAUGAUACAGGCCAAUCAGUAAUACAUUAAGGCUCUAGGAUUUUUUUUUUUUUUGUGGGGGUUGGGUGGAAGGGGAACACAUAUCAUAGGGACAACCAAAAAAUUCAACAUCAAGUAAGGAAGAGACAAAGUAGUAAAACUAUUUACAUAUUCUGAUUUUUUAAAAUCUUAUAGUCUUUCCUCAAAAUAGAGACACGUCUUUUAAUAUCCAAUCAUGAAAAGAAACUAGAGCCUCCACCAACAUUGGACAUAUAUGCUUCAGUUUUGGCAACUGCAGUACUGAAAAUAAAGUAACUGUACCCUACCCUUAAUUUCUUGGUUAGGUUUGGAUCCAGUCCAUAGAAAGCUAGCAUUAAAACCCAUCAAAAGGAAAGGAUCACGUACUUCACUAAAUACAAACCCAAGACUUGAAUGCUUAAACUUUUAGUUUUGACUUUUUCCCUUGUUCAGAAUCAUUUUAUUGAAAAGUGCUUCGAAGUUGAGCAAAAAAAUUACAACAUAAGUAUUACCUGGAAAUUGCGUGAAAGAAACCCCACCAGAGGCUUGUCCUUUUCGUCCUUGCUCAUUUUAAAAAGGCCAGCCAGAACUUGAAUCCUAUUCAAUGCUAUGUAAAGAAGUAUACAAGCCUUGGGAUCUUUAGCUUUCAAAUACUGUUGUCUGGCCAGCUUUUCCAUCUAUAACAAUAGAACAGAUUGCUGAAGAAAGAAAAGCAAUACAUUCUACUACUACUUUGCGUCAUUGAACUGAACAUAACGUACUACUGUAUUUUGCAAAAAUAGCAUCAAUCAUGAAAACCUAAUAAUAAAGCAAUCAAUCAAGAUAUUAAACCUCCUAAACAAAGAGAUUGUACAUGCAUAACGUACACUAGUGGGAAAGGCACACUGUAUGUGUGAGCAAAUUAAAAGAAAAAAUUAUAAGAAAAAAAUAAUUAGCAAUUAUGUAUUCUACUGGGAAAAUGAUACAAGUUUUUUCUUUUGCGGAAGAGAAAGGGGGGGGGGAGUUAUUGGCGGUUAUUGGAGGUUUCUUUGACCAUUAAUUUUGAGUAUUUUUUCCCCCAAGGAAGAUGGUGGUACUAGUUAGCUUGUCAAUGGGAGGAUACAAGAGGAAAUACAAGAAGUGACAAAAAACAAUUUACACCAAGCCCCCUCCUCUUCCUUUAUAUAUGGUAGAGAUAUAUAUAUAUCUCCCAUGACAAGACACUAAGCAUCAUCAGUUAAUGAAUCGACCAAAGAUUGACAAUAGCAAAUAUCACAAAUCUUCAUUCAACAAAAACUACUUUCUGUAAGGAUGCCAAAGGAUACAUUUACCAUUUCCAACAUUCCCGGUAGCUCACAACCACCCCAAUAAGAGUGGGUAGUGUCAACAAAUACACAAAUAAACAACAGAAAUUAAAACAAACCUCCAUCACCUUAGUCCAACAUGACACUUUAUUUUCCUUGUCAAGAGUGCUUCUUUUUGUUUUUUUGCACAUCAGUUCUCUUAGAAUUCUCUUUUUACAUUUUGUAAUUGAAAAUCUUCAAUUAACGUGUCUGCAUUUUUAUAUUUAAAUUGCUUCGCAAAUCCUUUGAAGGGUAGAGGAUCCCAAGAUGAAUGCAGUGAGUUUUUCACAAAUCACCACUAGAACUAGUUUAACACAAAAAAGCUUACAUCUGGAACACAAUGUCCAUACCAACCUCAUGCAGCACCAAAUAAAUCUUGUACUACAACUUUCUCUUCAUAGCAAAUAACGACUGCAAAAGCUAAUCUUUGACUCUUACUCUCAACAAAGCUACACAGCAAUAAAGUAUAUAACUUUCUAAAGAAAAGGCAACUCACAGCUAAAUAUACUUAUUUCACCUGGAAAGUUUUACAAAACUAAAUAACUUUGUGUGUUUAUUGGAAUCAGUUCAUGCCGAUGUACAUGCAUCCAGAGCAAAAAGAAACAUGUCAUUAAACAGAGAUAGUAGGAUUAGCUACAGAUGGUACCUUCAAUCUCAAUUGUGAUGUGUUUGUAUACCAAUAUCCAACACCAACAUCACGCAUUUCUUGCCAAGAUGGCUCGUUAGAUAAAAGAGAAUCAAACAAGUUUUCUUCACAAUCUGAGUGAAAGGCCCAUCCAAUCUGCUCUGAUGAAACAACUAACUCUCCUGCCAAAGGUAACCUACCAUAUAUCUUUGCAAAAUAUUGCAGUUGAAACCUCACUGCAACCCAAAACCUUGCAAAGAGGGAGAAACAGCGUCAACAAAAACAUAACAAUGCUAUUGAAUAUAACAGAAAUGGAAUUAUAGGUCAAAGAGUUAAGUCAUACCAAGCAAAUGACGCAGAAAAGAAAUCAUUGAGCAACAAGAACUAUAUUAGCUUAACUAAAUAUAUUGCAGUUAUUUCCAUCUUUAAGAACCUAGGAGGAUGCAACAGCACCAGGAAAGCACAAUUUGGCAAUUUUUUGAGAUUACCUAAACACCCAGGCAGAACAUCCAACCACCCAAACCAGCCCUGAAGAGAGAGAGAGACAGAGAGAGAGGGAAAGGGAGAGAGAGACAGAGAGACAGAGACAGAGACAGAGGGGCAGAGCAGAACAAUGGUGAUUCACCUCAACUUUUAUUUGAAAGAAAUGUUACAUAAUUUCUACUUUCAAGAGUCUCCAAGUAAUCGGCAAAUGGUAACUGACAGUGAUUUGACAGCAAUCCAUUUACCACAUUACAAUGUAAUAGCGGAAUUUGCCCAAAAAAGAACAUAUAAUUCAGUAGCAGACAAACAAACAGUUCAUUAUACAACCUCUAGUAACACAAGCCUCUCUUGGAAUUAAAGUCAAGUUCCUGUAACUCCAAGAUAUUAAUUUUUUUCAAAAAAAAAAAAUACCUUCGACCAGGUUCAUCGAGGCUUCCAUAAACAGAAACAGUGUGGUGAUUAAUAACUUCUUGCAGGAUAUCAAUGAUAGCAUGCAUCUGCAUCUUUUCAGUAUUGGUUAUGCCAGCAGACUCAUACAGCUUUCCCAGAACAUCAACGAAGUCUGUAGGUUCAGAUCUCACUGAAAAUGAGGGGAGUGCAUUAGCACUCUGGGCCCAACUGGAGCCAAAUGCAAAGGCUCCUUUCUGAAACUGGGAAGAUGAUGCAAUGCUAUCUGCUGCUCCAUUCUGCUGAAAUGAUUUAUCACCUGAGCUUGAAAAAAGCAGCCCUUCAAGAUAAUUUGACAAAGGAACCUGAGAAACAACAUGGCCACCUUUCCCAAAGCAAUACAUUUUCCCAUGUAUUUUAGCGGAUGCAAUGUUCUCAAGAACAUACUGCAAAGUCACAUAUGCCCGUUUCCAGUUACCUGGAGGAAUUUAUGAAGUCAUGGUUAUUUAUGACACAAAGUGAACCAACAAAUAAGAAUGGAAGUGAGGAUUAACAAAUGACAGUACAAUAUAUUAGGUACGUAGCAGGCCAUGUUAAGCAAAGAAGUAAAAGCCAGCGGGUAACAAAAGGAAGUAAGCUGUAUGGGAAAUAAAAUUUUGCAAGAAUAGGAAAAAGAGGUAAAACAUAACCACAGCAGUCCAACAUUCAGAUAUUGCAUGAGCAGGAAUAAAGAAUAUAGCACUGACAAAAUCCAACCCUCCACCCCAACCCAUUCCGAAAAAGAUAAGAAGGCUCUAAAAACUAUAACAGUCAGGAAAACAGAGCAUGUUAAACAAUCUUUGAAGUCAGCUUAUGAAUGUUUCUACCAAAUCAAGUUCAGAAAUUGAACCAUGGAUCAAAUUUUCAACUUAUUUGCUGUUGCUGAAGUAAACCUGUUGAAACAAGAUAUCCAUCAAACUCUUUAUGCACAUCAAUGAUCUGCAUUCUGUAAGAUAUGAUUUUCACAUUUCAGAUGGAGAAAAUAAGCAUGAAACAGACAAGGACAUGCAAGUUAUCAACUUCAACUACUUGUUAAGCAGCCAUCAAAUUACAACAUCUAAAAUUAAUGCACAGAACAUAUAAUAAUCAGAAAAAGUUUGCAUACGAAAACUCAGUCAUGGGAACAGAAAAGCUGAACCAAUAGAGAUACACAACUAAAACUUGUCACUAUUAACUCAACUUCAGGUCCAACUAUUAUGGAACAGUGCAAGGAAUUCUAUCUGUGAAUUUGUCACUAAAAUAGCAGAUUUGCCAGUAGCCCAUUCUUUGUGAUCAUCAAGCCUAUAAUCAUUUUCUAGAUCUUCAAUGGUAUAAUCAUUGGACAAAUGAGAUCAACAGAGACACAGAAUAUGUCCAACUAUGAUAAACUCGUUAAUACCUUUACUUAUGUUCAGAAGAAGUGCCUCAGGAUGAAAAGCAGAUAGAGAUCCUCCCAGCUUCUGUGAUACUUCUGAUAAGCUCCAAAAAUUAAUGAGAGAAUCAAAUUUCAAGUUCUGUUUACUCCUCUCCACAUCUAAGAAUGGGAGGAGAUUAUCUUCUGCAAUCAUAUUCACAGAAGGCCGGGGUUUGAGUUGUUGACCACAGUCCUCAACUGAUGAUCCUUCAGUACCACAAAUGUCAGAAUCAAUGAAAACAGCAGGGAGCAAAUACUCAUUGCAACCAUCAUUCAAAAUGGAAGGAUGAGUACUUUUUGGGCAAAAAAACAGCAGAUUCUUUUUAUCCAAGAGUGAGAAAGGACUGAAGAGAGAAAAAUAGUCAUGGUGUAAAACCCCGACAGUAGCUUUGGGUCCCCAAAAGAAGUCCUGAAUAACAGGAUAUUUAGAAGUUACCGCAAUACAAACCCAAAUAUUUCCUUCAACAUGUUCUUCUGACUUCAAACUAUCCUGUCCUCCACAGCGUCUUUGAGCAUAGAUCUUCAGUUCAUUUUGUGAGCAGACACCCAAUAAUAAAUGGCCAUCGCCCAGCAUCAACCAAUUCAAAGCAACAACUUCUCCCUCAAAACAUAUUGUAUCCUCUAGUAUAAACUUGCCACCAGUCCCAAAGUGCACACAUUCCCAUACAUGUACAGUACUUGCACUACUUAAGCAUCCCGCAUGGGAGACAGUUGCAAUCUUUCGUCCACAAACACUAGGCGAUAUAGCCAAAACUGGGCCUUGAUGUGCAGCAAUCACACCAACAAGAUCCCAGAGUGAUUUUGGACUGGAUAAAUUUGCAGGCAAACUUCUCCAUAGUUUUACAGUACCAUCACUACAACCUGUGACCAUGUGAUAUGUGGAGUAGCUGGGGCUAAAUUCAUCAGCAGAACUCCAUCCUUGUUCUUCAAAUGAGAAAAAGUUACUAGGAUGGACCACCGCAAAACUUGAAAUCAUAUCCUCGUCAUAUGGAGAAGGAAGUAUGGAUGAGUAAGGAUGAAUAGAAAUGAAGUAUCUCGUUUCAGAAAAAUCACUCUCAAAUGUCCACAAAUUGUUCUCAGUAGUAUCACCAAUGUUGCAACCGCACUCGAAACAGUUUCUCAACAAAUCACAAUGAUGGAUUGUUAUGUUCCAUGACAAAGCCUGAAAACUGUUCUUCCAUACAGCUAUUACCAUAAAACUACCAGAAACAGAUGUUCUAUUACAGGCUGAAAGCACAGGAAUUGAACUAAGAGUAGUUGGCCCUCUAUCAAAGUCUUGACUGCCAUAUUGGAUUGUACAUAAACGGUGGACAGCAAUUUUGUCUUCUUCAUUGUCCAUAACCUUUACUAUAAAGCAAUCAAUACCUCCAGCAUGCCCCAUGACAAGAACCCGAACCUCAUUGAAGAUAGCAGGUGCCCAUGCCAAACUAGUGCACUUUGCAUGAGUUUCAGAAAAAACACUUCUCCUAUAAAGUUUGCAUGAGGGAUUCAAUGUCCGCAAGCCAGCAACACCAUUAGAAGCAGUGGAAAGUGACCAAAAGAGAAGCAGUCCAUUUGUAUCCAAAGAAGCAGCAAGUCCAGCUUCGAAUAGAUAAGGAUGAACUACAACCUUUAAUAUAGUCCCAGUGUGACUAUCAAUAUCCAGAAUUCCGGAGGCACAGGAUGAUAAUAAGUCUUUAUCGUAACAAUUAUUUGUAGAUCUAUCUUGUGCAUCAGGUGAUGCUUGUGAAUGUGAGUGCAAAAGAGCCAGAGAAUUACAGGGUAAUACUUGAAGCAAAGAACACAUUGUUGGUGGGGUAAACAUUUUAUUUCUCUUGAUGAAUACUUUAUUGAGUAGCAAUCCUCCAGAUCCCACUUGAGGACUGAUUAAUUCUUGUCUUUUCCAUAAUGUGACCCGGGGAAAUCUCAGUGGAGAAAAUUCAUCAAGACAGUGAAUAGCCCAGAGGGUAACUGUUAAUUGAGGACCAAACCCAAUUAACCAUUCACAAUAGCCAGUCUUAUUGUAUUGAUAAUCAGGGGAGAAAAACUGGGGGCGAGCAAUACUGUCGAUUUCAGUAGCCCAAGUGACAAAUACAGUGGAGCCUAAAGUUCCAUUGAGUGCUUGGUUUACCUCAAUUACAGCAACAACUCGAAAGGAUAACUUUGUCAUUGCAUGAUCACAGCUGUCCUUGCCACCUUUUUUGACCUUCCCAUCAUCACUCUGACUCCAUAGUCUCACACUGCCAUCAAAACAGCUUGUUAAUAACAUCAAC